This 52125-nucleotide long non-coding RNA is filed under the name Ananas comosus (pineapple). RNAcentral describes it as "long non-coding RNA (ACOM_LNC033038)". Lineage: Eukaryota; Viridiplantae; Streptophyta; Magnoliopsida; Poales; Bromeliaceae. The record is from RNAcentral.
UAAUCCAACCUUGUCUAGUCGUGUUCUUGUUAUCUUAUCCAAUCCAAUCCCAUACCCCAAACAUGCCCAUAAAAUGUUUAUUGUGAUAAUAUGAUUUCAUCGAGUCUUUAGUGCCAUUUAAACAAUUGUUCGAAAGUAUCUUGAAGGAGUCUUUUGUUUAUUUAAAAAUUCUAUGAAAGCGUGCGCCUCACCUCACUGAGGGUUGCACCUGUGCAGAAGCACCUUGCGCUCACACUCUUAUAGCUCUUUGUGCCUUGUGCCUUGUGCCUUUUUAGACAUUGGCUCGCAGCUAUAGAAACAGAGGAGGAGAAAGUAAUUUUUACUUGAAUUCUAGUUCAACCGAAGUGUGCUUCGACCCGAACUUCACUUUCUGUGAAAUAAACGGGCCUUUACCUGCGAGUUUGCAAAACACUAAGCUAAGAGUUCCCCAUUGACUCCUCUCCAUCAUCCAACAAUGGCUGGCGCCCGAGGCGAAGAGGUAUGCACCUUUCUCUCUCUCUCUCUCUCUCUCUCUCCCUCUCUCAACCUAGUUAGUUGAACCCUAAAGGAAUUUUUGAUAGUUUUGUUGAGAGGAUUUGAUGAUUUUGAUUCAAUUUGAAUGGAGAAUUCCCUAUGCAAUAUGAUUACUUGGACAAACUAGAAGAAAACAAGCUAUAUGGAACCACAUGGCAUAUCACAUGGCAAAUAUUUGAAUUUAAGUGCGUCAAAGCACUUCCGUCGCAGUUCCUGUCUAAUUGUUGCAAUAAAUAUCGCAUAUUCUUAGUUAAAUGUAUUUUUGAUGAGUAAUUUAUUAGUUUCAUUGGAAGAAUUUGACUAUUUCGACUCAAAUUGAAUUGAAAAUUCCCUAAAAACUAUUAUCAAUUGAACAAAGUAAAAGAAAACAUGUCAUGUGGUAUUGAAAAUAUUCUCUAAUUGAAUAGUUCGAGGUAGACAUUAGGUUUCAGUUUGGUGUUUAGGUUUGGAUUUAUCAAAAAGAGUGUUGGUUUCUAUGAGGAACACUGAAGUUUUUAUAAAUCUGAGCUGAUAUUAUGUUGAUAGGUGCUUGUUUAGAUUUUUUAAAUAUAAAAACUACAUCAAAUUUAUUGCUUUUGUUUAAUUGGCGGCAUUACUUUUCAGUAAUUAAGUAAUUUUACUGAAAGAACUAGAGGAGUGCAACUCAAUUUGGACGAAGAAUUCGUUAAACAAUGGAACUGUUUGAAUAAGCUGAAAGAAAAUUAGCUCUAUGAUUGUAAAAGAUGUACUAAUUGGAUGGUAGGGAAAAUCUCGAGAAGAUUAUUCCUCAUAGAAAUAUUGCUGUAUUUAAAGUUGUUAGUCUCCUUUUGCGUUAUUCAAGAGACCAUUGAUUCCCAUAAUAAAAGCUAAACUUCUCUUAGUUUGAGGAAAAAGAAUGAGGAAAAAGAAUUAUAUUAGGUUGAUCAGUGCAUGUUUAGAUAUCUUUUAACAAAAUGACCUCAAUGGUUUUGACUUUUUUCCCCUCUCUAGUCAAUGGAUCAAGUUACAGACUUUCUGACUUUUAUUGCUGAAUUUAAUACCAUGUUGAAGUUCUGGUUUUAAUACCAUGUUAAGCAGUAGUAAGGUUUGUGUAAUAAUUAUUUAUUUUCUACUGAUAGGCGGCAUCGGAGACUGUGGAGUCGGUCCACUUUAGCUUUUAUAAUGAGGAGGAGAUCCGCAAAAUCAGUGUUAAAAGGAUCACAAAGCCUGAUCUCCUUGAUACCAAGAAUGUUCCUGUUUCUGAUGGAUUGUACGAUCCAGCUUUGGGUCCGAUCAAUGAUACUGAUUCGUAAGUUUUAAUUCUUUUGCUAAAGUUGUUCUAGUUGUGAAAUUCAUAUAUAAAGAAUAUUAUAAUUUUCAUCAUUAGUACUUCUUUAAUAGCUUAUUAUUCUUACAUGCAUGGCAAAUAUCUUUCAUUUUGUUUUUUUUUUUCUUUCUCGGAAAAGUCUGUUAGUGUGCGUCCAUUCUCUUAUUGUUAUGACUGAGCACUAAUUGAAAUUGGCUUGAUAUCGAUGAAGUGAAAUUGGCUUGAUAUCGAUGAAGCGAAAUUGGCAUGAUGCUAUAUCAGUAAAGUCUUUUCAAAUACCUGAAGCUAGGUUUCUCUGGCUAUUCUUAUGGUAUCGGUUGGGUUUUGUCUUUGGCCAACUAGAGAAGCAAUCAUCUCUGAUGUUUCAGCUUAAUGCUCAAUUAACUUUGUUCAAUGGGUAGUUAGUUAUACAUGCAUUAUAGAAAACAUAAUUGGGCAAGGUUCCUAUAAGCUGGUGUUGGUGUCACCAUAGAGGAGUCUUCUCUGUAACACCUACAUUUAUGACGCCAUCUUUGGCACAUAGAUGAACCCACAAGCAUUAACAAAAUAACAAUAACCUCUUUUGCCGUCCUUCCCAUUUGAAAUUACUGAAAUGGUCUUGAUUUCGCAUAAUCAGUGUGACAUGGCUAUGUGAUUGGCUAACUUGGUUGUCUACAUGGUGUUGGUGUUAGAGAGAAUGCAUUCUCGUUGUAGUGAGGCCUUCUGCAUUCCAAUAUGUUUGAUUGCCGCUUUGUCAAGAAAUAAAAGAAAAAAGGAUAAUUGCAUAUGGCUCCUUGCAAAGCUAUCAAAUAGCAAAUAUAUCACUGCAAAACUUAAGUUAUCAAAUUUAUCCCUCCAAAAGUCCUCCCAUCUGCAAAUGUGUCCUUCUGUUGUCAACAUUUAGAUAACCAUGAAUUAAAAAAGCUAACUACAAUUAGCUAAGGGGUAAAAUCACCUUUUUACCCCUUAUAUAUAUAAUUUGUAUUCCAAUGUUGAGUCCCGUCAUCUUUCUCACACUCUCCUCUUUACCCAUGGCGACAACAAGACCGAUGGUGGCGGCGGCGACGUCGAAGGUGAGACCCUCGAUCACAGCAAAAUAAGGUACGCUGCAUGUGCCGCGGCGAAGGCGAGGAGAGAGAGAAAGAAAGAUAACCUUUUUGCAGGGACAAAUUUGUAAUGGCAAAAAUUGCCAUUUUACACGCCCACAGGUAAAAAACUAAUGGUGAAUCAAACGGUAGGGACAUGUAUGAAUGAACCAGAACUUUUGGAGGGAUAUAUUUGCAAAUCAGAGAGUUUUUGAAGGGAUAAAUCUGAUCAUUUAAGUUUUCUAGGGAUUUAUCUGUUAUUUAAUAUUUUACAGGGAGCUGUCUGAAAUUAACCCAAAGAAACAAACUACUCUUCCUUUUUGUUUGUAGUUUUAAUUCUCAUUUAUAAGGGCGAAGACUAAAACAAUAUAUUGGAUAUAGAAGGAAGAAACUUCGAAGAAAAGAUGAAGCUUUUUUAAAAUGCUUACCUGAACUUAGGUCCCAGUUAUGUAAGUAAUGUCUGAAGAAAAUAGUGGAGUAGAAGAGGGUUUCAAUUUACAUACCUAGACUAGAUGUGAAUUUCAAUAUAGGCAAAUGAAGCUUUCUAACAAUUGCGUACUAGUUUAGAUCUAUGAAGAUAUGAAAGAAAUAUCUUUUUUGGUUCUUUCUCUUUAGCGAACUCAAGAUGAAAUGGUUGAAAACUAAAAAGCAUAUGUUCCUUAGCUAUGUGUGCACUUAAUGCUGCUUUCUGAUGCAUGUUUUCUUGACCUUUCUGUGUAGCUGCAAAACGUGUGGCCAGCUUUCUGUUCGUUGCCCCGGCCAUUGUGGUCAUAUAGACCUUGCUAGACCAAUUUAUAACCCAUUGUUGUUCAAGAGUCUUCAAACUCUUCUUCAGAUUACUUGCUUCAGUUGCCAUAAUUUUAAGUUGGACCAUGAAAAGGUAAUUCUCCCUUCGCGUAAUUUUUACUUAUUUAAGGAUUGGCUUAACUGUAGACUUAUUUUCGGCAGUUUGAUUUAGGUUUUGAUUUCAUUUCAAAAGUUUCAAUUGUAGCAGUUUAGUCCCUGAAUUUUGGUCCCAGCUUCAAUUAUGUCCUUGAUGUCUCAAUUUUGAUUCUGAAGUUUUGUUUUGAUUUCAAUUUAAUCCUUAAACAUUUUAUCCUAGUUUCAUUUUCAUCCUCGUGCUUGCUAUUUAACAGAGAAAAGAGCAAGUGAUGGUGCUGAUGUAGCACUUUUUACAGAUGAUAGUCUGUGGAAAGAACUUAAUUGGUAUUACAAUAAACUUCAGGGACUAGAUUGCUGUAAUUGAAAUAUGGGAGUGAAAUUGGAAUUCAAAUCAAACAACAGGGACCACGUUUGUAGUUAACCUUUUAAAAGUGUAUAUUUGUCUAAUUAUCAUCAUAAAUAGUUCACCUAUAUACUGUUCUUAGGUCAGAAGAUAUACCUCCCAACUCAAACUUAUAUUAGAGGGCGACAUUAUUGGGGCUAGAAAUUUAGAAGCUGCAUCAUGGAAUCAAUUAAAUUCUUCUGAAAAUGAGACAGUGAGUUCUGCUGAUUGUACCGGAGAAUCCUUUUCAUCAAAUCCGAAGCAACGAACAUGGACUUCCCUUCAAUACACUGAGGCUCUCUCUGUCCUUUCCAAGUUGAUGAGAGAGAAACGUAAGAAGUGUAAUAAUUGCGAGGCUAAAAAUCCAACAAUUACCAGUCCUACAUUUGGGUGGCUGAACAAGGUACUUUUCAUUUACAACUUCAAAAUGAUUGCUUUUACAUCUUUGUCUCAAUAGAGUGCUGAUUUUUUUGUGAUUGAUACAUCGGCUUAUGAUGGUGUGUUCUUAUGUGAUUAUUCCUGUCUUUACUGUCAAUGUGAGACUUCUAGUUGUUCACUUUUUUAUAUCAAUCUUUACUUCCCCCUUCCUUUCCCUUUUUAAACUUGUCCAGUGGAACUUCUUAUUAUCUUGAAUACAAUGUCCUAAAUAUGUCCUUUAAAUAUUUAGCUAUGCCAAUUGUAUUGGGAUAAUUUUUUUUUAGUUGGGGUAAUUUUCAAAAGAACCCCUCUAUAGUUUCAAAUUUUCAUAGACGCCCCUUCAAAAUCUAAAAUAUCACAUAUAUCCCUCUAAAUAUAUGACUAUAUCAUAUUUGUCCCUACUAUUAGCAAACAAUAAGCUUACCCCGGUCAAAAGAGGGUUAAAUACUGUUAAAUUAAUAAAAUGACAAUUUUACCCUCAAUUAUCCCUUGUUGGGCAAUAUUUUAAUACAUGUUAUUUUUCAGUUUUUUUGUCUAUCACUUUUAUUUGAUUAAUUUUUCUUUUAAGAAAUUGUUAAAAUUUUGAAAUUGCGUUCUUUGCGAUAAGAUUGGUAAGCUUUUAGCUUACUGGCGGGUAAAAAUGAAAUUUCGGAAUUAAUGUACCAAAUUUGCAAGGAAUUUUACUAGUAGGGGGCAGUUGAGAAUAUUUCUAAUGUUAACGAGGGCAUUGGUGGUAUUUUAAACUUUGAAGGGGCAUUGACGAAAUCACAGCAGCUCAUAAGGGCAUUUAGGAAAUUAUCCCUUUUUAAUUUAGCAAAUCUUAUGUUUAUGGAAGUAAAAGCUGGCAGCAGAAUCUUUUGAGUGUUGAUUGGAAGGAAGUAUUAUCUUGUUUUGAUCCGUCAUAAAUGAAUUAACAGGUUAGCUUGUCAAGUAAAAUUUUUUGAACAGUGAAAUGAGAUUGUCUUGUUUAUCAAUUUUUAGGAACCUGUAAGUGUGAGCAUGGAUGCAUCUGUGUGAGUUGCAAUAUAAACAUGAUGUCAGUCAGUCUUGUUGCUAGUACAGAGAAGCAAUUACUUUGCUUCACUGUGGGAUACAUGAUGUUUACUAGUGAAGGUCUAUUGAUCUCUGCUUGCUAAUACUCAUAAGGUCUAUUAUGCUGUCUCCUCUGUGGACCUCUUUUGACAUUGCUAUUAGGUACAACUAAUUAUAAUGAAUUUCUUUGUACCGUUUGAAAAAUUUCCCACUUUCUCUCCCUUUUAGCUAAGGAAUGGAUGAUAGUAUGUGCCAGGUGGAUGCUAGACAAGGGUUAUAGUUUGGUGAUCCCCUUUUUCAUCCACAAUGUGCUACUUACUUUUAUUCGGCAAUGUAAAUUAUGCAAUGCUGAAUUCAGAUGCUUGGAGUACUAAAUCUAUAGACAUCUGUUUUCUUGUUUCAUUAUGCGCAAUUAAUGAAAUUUAGAUGGUAAUUUUCUGAGUGAUUUUUUCACUUUUUUUCUAAUAUCAACAAAAAAGUUUAGUUUUAUAAACUAUAUACUUAGCAUGCUUACCACUAGUAUUACAGUUGAUUAACAUUUUUUUCUUGAUUGUCUCGUUCUUUUGCUAAUUUUUUGGAUUUCUUGUUUCUAGAUUGUGCGUUCAUCGGAUGUAAGGGCAAAUAUAAUAGCUCGGUCUGAGAUUGAACAAUCCUCCACUGUGGAACAAAAUGAUGAAGCUGAUACAAUAGCAACCAAAAAAGCUAAAAGACAAACACGGCGUCUUCCUGAUGAAUUAGCUAAGCAGAUGUUAUCUUCUGGGCAGAAACAUCUAUUUCCUGUGGAGGUUUGUUUAUUUAUAGUUUUUCUCAUGACUCAAUUUCUUUUACAAAAGAUUCUUCAGUAGUUUAGUUGGGCAUAAUUGUAACAUUGUUGACUGUUGUUUGAACUAUUUUAGGCCGAAAAUGUUUUAGAGGCUCUGUGGAAAAAUGAGGCACGGCUCUGCAUGCUGAUAUGUGAUAUACAGCAGAAAAGUUUAACUGUAUGUAGAAGGGAAAAAGGCUACCAGAUGUUUUUUCUCAGGGCUCUUCUUGUCCCACCAAGCAAGUUCCGCCCGCCGGCUGGGAGUUCUACCCGUGGGGUAAGCAGAUCUGAUCAAUCAUUGGUGUGACCCUAAUGAUUAUACUUAAGGAGAAAAGUGGCUUAUGUGUUAUCUGCCAAUUUAGAUGAUGAAGUUUCUGACCUUUGACGUCAGUUUCAGUUUCCCCAGAGUUGCUAUUAUAACAAUUUAGCUCUGAAGUUUGACAUUGAUUGUAAUUUGAUCCUUAAAAUCUCGAUUCGGCCCUCAAGUUUGACCUUGAUUUCAAUUUCUUCCCUAAAUUUCAUCCUCAAAAUUUCAAUUUAAUGAGAAAAAUCUAACGAAGGUGUUGACAUGACACUUUUAUAAAUAGUAAGCUAAAAAAAGGCAUUAUCAUUCUGCAGAGUAAACUUCAGGGGUCAAAUUGCUAGACUUGAAACUAUUAGGAUGAAUUUGAAUUUCUGGUCAAACUUUAGGGAGCAAAUUGUAACCUUUUGUAUAUUCAUUAUGCCUUUAUUGCGGGGGGCCUUUUUUUUGUCCUCCCUCCCCUUUCCAUAAUGCUCUCUCUGGUAGAAGCAAGAACUAUUCUUUUUAAGUUUAUAUGCUUCUUCUCUUGUACUAGUCUAACUUUUCCUACAUUUUGACACUGAAAUUUAACUAACCUAUUCUACUGUUUUUAGGUUUUAGAACAUCCACAAAAUGUAUUAUUAAGUAAAGUUCAAGAGUCUAACAUUGCUUUGCGGAAUCUAAUUGCGCUUGAUCCCAAUCAUCCUGAUGUCUCAAAGAGAUGGAUGGAUCUUCAAAGAAGCGUGAAUGUGCUGUUUGAUAGUAGUAAGGGCUCCGGUAUGUAUUACUAUUCGUCUCUCUUUCUACCAUUGUUGCUAGAUAGACAUUGUUAAAUUAAAGUAUGACAAAGCUAGUUUGUUUCGUUGAUAUGGUUUCAUAGACCGUUAUAAGGGCACUGUUGGUUGUUUUUACCUUUUUAUUUGCUCAAUCCUGGUGCAUUUUGCUUCUCAUGCUCUGAAAUCUGAAUAUUCGACUUCAAGUCUUUAAUUUUGUGGCUAUCUCCUCCAACUAAUCGCUGCUUUUUUGGUUGAUUGGAGACUGACAAUGUCGUGAAUAUCUGUAAUUCUUAGAGCCAAAUUGGAUCCAAUCGUGUGGUGAAACUCUUAUCUACUUGGCCUUUAACUUGCAAUAGGUGGGUUCAAAACUUCAAACAUAUUAAGGCCGAUGGGCAUGACACAGCACUGUGGGGCCUGCCAAAGUCAGCACUGUGGGGCAUGACACAUUGGCAUGGGUUUUUUUAAAAUUUUUUAUGAAAAAUUAGCUUUUUAAAUUGUUUUAAUAUUUCUUAUGGCUAUCGAAAUAGCUCAACUGUUUUCUGUCUCACACAAUUUAGUAAGAAUAGAGUCACAAAGAUCUUAAUAAGUGAAAAAAAAUCUUAUAUAUUUUAUAAAACAUACGUAUGAAAACAAAACUUAAAAGUUAUAAUUAAAUAAAAUUUAUAGAAAAACGCCACCAUAGUUAAAUUCAGUACAUCUAAAAUAAUUAAAAAAUUGAGGGAGAUCUUAUAAUUCUUAUUUUUUCACUAGAAGAUGGUCUCAUUAUGCAUCUGAGUUCACUAAUUUCAUUAUGCAUCUGAGUUCACUAAUUGCAUGAAUAUUAAUAGAUUUACAAGAUCUAUAUAUUUCAAGCAUGGAAAAACCUUUGUAAAACUUUUUUAUCUCAAAAGCACACGAAAAGCACCAAAAGCCAAAAAAAUUGUCGAUAUGGUAUCGGCACGGCCCCGUGCGUUGCCAGGGUAUAACAUGGGUGGAUUGGGGUGACAUGGGCAGCAUGGGAAAUCCUUGUUAAGGCCCUUUAGGAAUGUGAUGGCCACUCACACUACUUUGAUGCUUUAGAGGAUAGUGGGAACUCUUACCAUAGAAAUAUCGACCAGGUGCUUCUCCGUUGGCUGUUCCCGUCACCAUUUUAAAUUAAAGUACAACUACCUACUUGCAUUCUGUUCUCUAUUCUCAUGUUCUGGACAGAUAUGAAUCUUGUAGAUCAACUGAAAUAGAGAGAACUAAGUGAUAGAUAAGCACAUAUUUGCAAUGAAAAUCCUUGAAUAUCAACUCCUCCAAAUUCUACGUUUACUUUAGUUGUGAAUAUUUUCGUAUUGUCAUUUUUGGUUAACACUUUUAGAUGGGCUAAAUUAAGGUUCUAAGAUGAAUUAAUUUCUACAAAAUCUAUACUAUUAUCAGUUCCAAUUAUGAUUCUCUCAACACAUUAUGGAUAAUUUUCCACGCAUAUAUUACUAUUUAUUCUUGGGUUUCAUAGUACAUCUUGUUUUUCCUAUCUCAUUUUUAGUGUUUAACACUUUUCCUUUUUACAUCUCAAGGAUUGUCGUGCUGUUUGAAUCAAGGUUUAAAGUGCCGUGGCACGGGGGCGUGUCGUUAUGUCCCUGGCAUGGUACGGCACAGGCACGCUUGCGUGCCGACACGUGGCACGCUUGCGUGCCGAUAGAUACGUAUGACCUCCUACUGGCACGCUUUGGCACGGAUUUAUUUCAGUUUUUUUGGUUCUAAUAAACUCUUAUAAUGUUAUUUUGAAAUAUUUAAAUAAAUAAUGAUGAAUAUUUACUAUAUAUAUCUUACUAUACUCAUUAAUUAACAUGCAUGUAAGCUUUUUGUAAGUAAAAUACAACUAUACCUGAUGUAGAAUAGAAAUUAAAAUACAAUAAUAAAAUUCACAAGUAUAAUAAUUAUUUAAAUUUACAUCUUUAUAUAGAGAUGACUGCUUAAUUCGACAUAGAUCGUCGCGUUUGAUCAUAUGGCAUAUUGUCAUAUGAAGAUACAAGAUUUAUUUGACAAUAUUGAUAUAAAUAUUGUUGGUAUUGUGAGAAAGUCAUAUAUUCCCGAUAUUAUAUCCAUAUUUUUUUGUUCUUUUUAAAAAUAUCUUAUCAAAAUUUGUUUAGGAGAUCGAUUUUUGUUCUCUUGAUUCACCGAAAGCAUCGCGGUCCGAGACCCCCCCCUGUACCGUGCCCCCUUCUUGGGGACACGGUACGGCACGACCCCGUGCCGCCCGGCACGGGCGGCACUUAAAACCUUGGUUUGAAUGACCCGUGCCACUGUGCUGUGAUCUGCUAGCUGCACCACACCGCACAACGGCAUAGGGCAUGCCAAUGUCGGUAGACUCUCCUUUCCGGCAGCAUGCCACUGGCACAUGUGCACGCAUUGGCAUGAUUUUUUUAAUUAAAAUUUUAUGGGAAAUUAGUUUUUGGAGUGUUUUAAUUUCUCUAAAGGCUAUAAAAAUAAUUUAUGUAUUAAAACUCACAAAAUAGAGUCAUAAAUCAUCUUAAUCACUAAAAAAUUAUUAUUUUAUAUGUAUUAUGAAAGUAUAUGUAUGAAACCAAAACCAAAAUCAUAUUUGGAUAAAAAUUUAUAGAAAAACGUUACCAUGGAUAAAAUCACUAGAUCUAAAAUGGUAAAGAAAUUGGAAGAAAUCUUUUUAUUUAUAUUUUUUCAUUUAAAGUUGGUCCUACAAUGCAGUAGAACUUACUAAUUGCUCAAAAAGUUAGUAGAUUUACAAGAUCUACAUAUUAUAAGUAUGAAAAAGCUUUUGUAGAACUUUGUUCCUCAACAAAGUUCAAAAAAAGGUCAAAAAAUGGACGAAAAAUUCAUUUUGUUGAUAAGGUGUCGGCACGACCCCAUACCCUGUGCCGACACCUCCUUGACACUCUACAACAUGGGCAGCAUGGGGCGGCAUAGGCAGCACGGGCAAUCCUUGCAUCUCAUUUAGUUUUAGUGUGAAAGUUUAUCUUUUUCUAGUCCUGAAAUAAGUUAUUGAGCUUUUCUUCUAAUGUGUAAUAGAAUGUUUAUGUUGAUGACAGUCAAAAGUGAGAAGGAGACUAGUGGUAUACGUCAGUUAUUAGAGAAGAAGCAAGGAAUACUUCGACAGAAAAUGAUGGGAAAGAGAGUUAAUUUUGCAUGCCGGUCGGUCAUAUCUCCUGAUCCAUACUUGGCAGUCAAUGAAAUAGGAAUUCCUCCAUAUUUUGCUUUGAGAUUGACAUAUCCUGAGGUAACCUCCUGAUUCGAUGACAUCAAAGUAGUUUGUUCUUUGACCUAAUUAAAUCAGGCAAAAAUUUAAGCACUCACAACUAUGGUGUAUGCUUUGUUGUCAUUUUAGUGUACUUGUUAUUAUAUAACUCACAGAAAUACAUUCUCAGAAGUGUGCAUGAUGCAUCAAAGUUGAUUUUGUUGCUUGUUUAUUUGGGAUUUGCAUGUGUUUGUACAAAUUUAUUUAUUUACAAUAUACCUAUAUCUCAUCCAAAUUUCCAUAUGUACCCUUGAAAGUGCAGUUUUUUUUUUUGGAAAAACUUCAAAUACUACCCCUAUGGUUCAGCGUAUUCUCACUUUAGUACCUUGUGGUUUAAAUUGUUUCACUUUAGUACCUUGUGAUUUUGUUUUUCUUUUUUCAUUAACCCCUCCGUUAAUUUUUUCGUUAAAUCAAUGAGAAAGUUAAAACUACAGGAUGCUAAAGUAAAUUUUUUUUAAACCAUAGGAUACUAAAGUAAAUAUUCAAUAAUCCACACGGGGUAUCUGAAGUUUUUUUUUUUCUAUAUGUUUUAAUGGAGAGUUAACAUAGGGGAUAACGGAAGGAGAAAAACGAAACCACAGGGUACUAAAGUGAGAAAGCGCUAAAUCACAGGGGGGAUAUUUGAAGUUUGUCCCUUUUUUUUUAAACAAAAAAUUGCCCUUAACCUCUGGAGUUCACCAAAAUUCCUUCAAUUUUGGGAAUCAUCAAACUCAUAGCUGGAAGAGGAAAAGAAAAGAAGAGAGGGGGGGAGGGGGGAGUGGAUUGUUGAUUUUUUGAGGAAGAGCUUUUUGAAAGCGAAAGGGCACAAGUUUUAAAGCUGAAUGCUGAAACAUGUAUGUGAAUACAUAAUUGUAGAUGAACACACACACACACACACAUAUGUAGAGGGAGAGAUGGAGGGAGGCUUGUGUACUACGCUAGCAUGGAGCCCUUCAUGCUAUCAAGUUGUUUUCGAUGAUGGGAUAUUCAAAUCGACGAUUGGCUUUGUUAGUAUCAAAAAACCAAAUAUCAUAUUUUUUUCAACAUCAUUUGACUAGUGAUCAAAAGGCCCCAAAAUUGACAAUUUUAAUAACCGAUGUGAUGCAUCUCUAAGUUUGAUGGUGUAGAACAAUUCAAAUCUAGUGAAAUUUUGAUAGAAAUUUUUUUCACUAUUUAGAGCAAGAACACUACCUUCGAUAUGAAAUUAAGUCUUUUAUCAUUAUUUUUUAUGAGAUUUCUCUUUUUAGCCGUUUAUUUUCAGACUAUCCUAGCCGAGUUGUGUAUGUAUAUGUAUAUGUGUAUGUGUAUGUGUGUCUGUGUAUAUAUGAAUGCACUAUAUAUAUAGUAGGACUAGUGUCUAGGAGCAUGGAGGCCUUCGUGCUACUAAGCCAUUUUCGAUAAUGAAACUUCCGAAUCGACGAUCGACUCCGUUAGAUUUGAUCUAGCGUAUUUGAAGUAUCUAGAAGAUAAAUUUUGUGGUUUUCUGAUAUCAUUUAUCUAGUGAUUGAAAAGACUCAAAAUCAACAGUUGAAAAUAAAAAUCUAACAAAAAGUUAUGAUAUAGCAUUAAAAUUUUCGGUUUUUGCUAUAGAUAGUAUAAAUAUUUUUUGUCAAAAUUUCAUUUGAUUUGAAUACUUCUAUAUCAUUAAACUUGCAAACGGCAUAUAUCAACCAUUAAAAAUUUGAACCCUUUCGAUCAUUAGGUAAAUGAUACUGAAAAAGCCCAAUUUAUUUUCUAGAAGCUUUAAAUACGUUAGAUCAAGUCUAACGGAGUUGAUCGUCGAUUCGGAAAUUCCAUCAUCGAAAACGGCUUAGCAGUACAGAGGCUUCCGUGGUUCUAAUAGCAUACAAGUCCUACUCUAUAUGUAUACACACACAUAUAUGUAUGUGUGACUGUGUGUAUUAUAUAUAUAUAUAUAUAUAUAUAUAUAUAUAUAUAUAUAUAUAUAGGGUUGAGUGCAUACAGGUCCCUGCAAACAUAGUCAAUUGCGGAAAUAUCCCUGCAAAACGGAAACUCCAUAAGUUGUCCCUGCAAAAGUCUAAAGUUAUGCAGAUAUGUCCCUCUGAUUAACAUCUGUUAGAGAACUGUUUAUUUUUUAACAGUUUUCAUGUGAAAUGACCAUUUUGCCCUCACAAAUAUAUCCAUCCAAAAGCAUCUUCCCCCUCUCUUUCUCUUCCUCUUCCUCUUCGGGCCGCCGGAGCAGAUGGCGGCGACGGCGCGGGUCGAGCUCGCCGGCGAUGAAGAAGGGGGAAGAGAAAGAAUGAGAGGAAGAAAAAAAGGGAAGAGGAAGAAGGAGAGGAAGAGGGAGAGAAAGAGGGAAGAGAAAGAUGAAGAGGGAAAGGGUUCGUCGCCCGGCAGCGCGGGGCGCGCCGCCGGCAUUUCCUCCUUGCCGCGACGAAGAAGAGGGAAAAGAGAAGAGAAGAGGAAAGGAAAAGAAGAGGAAGAGAAAGAAGAAUGAGGGAGGAGGGAUUCGCCAUGCCGCGUCGGAUCUUCUCCCUCGCCGGCGAUGAAGAGAGGGAAGAGGAAAAGGAAGAGGAAAAGAAGGAGAAAAGGGAAGGGAGAGGAAGAAGGAGGAAAAAAAGAGAGAGUUCGUCGUCGCGGCCGCGGCGUCGUGCCCAGGUGCCGCGCUGCCGCGCCGCUCGCGCGGCACGAAGAAAGGCGAAGAAGAAGAGGGGGAAGAAGAAGAAGGGUAGAAUCGUAAAUUUACUUUAAAUUAACCAUAGGUUAAGUACUUUAACCAUGGUAACGAAAUUUUCUAACAGCCUUAACGGCAGGGACAUAUCUGCAUAACUUUAGACUUUUGCAGGGAUAACUUAUGGGAUUUCCGUUUUGCAGGGAAUUUCUGCAAUGCACUAUGUUUGUAGGGACGUGUAUGCAAAUAACCCAUAUAUAUAUAUAUAUAUAUAUAUAUAUAUAUAUAUAUAUAUGAGUAAGGCUACUAUGCUAUCGGAAGCACGGAGCCUUCCGUGCUUCCAACUCAUUUUCGAUAUUGCGACUUUCGAAUCGUCGAUCAACUCCUUUAAACUUGAUCUAGAGUAUUUGAAGUACCUAGAAAAUAAAUUAUGCAAUUUUUCGAUAUUCUGAAAAUAAAAAUCUUACAAAACGUGAUAAUAUGACAUUAAAAUUUUAGAUUAAAGAUAUUGAUCUUGUUUUAUAUAGUAUAAAGAAUUUUCUUUCAAAAUUUCACGUGAUUUGGAUAUUUCUACACUGUUAAACUUCCAAAUGGCUCACUACGGCCAUUAAAAUUAUUGAUUUUGAGCCCCUUCGAUCACUAGGCAAAUGAUAUUGAAAAAUCAUAAAAUUUAUUUUCUAGGUACUUCANGUAUAUAUAUGCAUGUAUAUAGGAGAUAUAUAUAUAUAUAUAUAUAUAUAUAUAUAUAUAUAUAGCGUAAGCUUAGACCGAAUCAGAUCAUCAAAAAGAGAGGAAAACUAACUCUUUACAUGCCAAUCAUACUACACCGGGGGAUCCCAACUCACCCACAACCAAUAAUUAUACCAAUUCACUUCAACGAUUCAAAUUUAAAAUGCCACUUGCACCUAUUUAAAUAUAUUAGUUGAUAAUCAAAUUUGUGACUUGUCAACCACGCUAAUCUUUAAAUUGGGAACGUUCUAUUGGCUGCCAAUUUACUACACCUGCGAGAUCAACUCACAGAAGAACUUUCAUAUUUCAUAGUUUUCAUUAGUUUGACAAAUUAGAACACCACUAUAUGAACUAGUGGUUCACGAACACGUAGAUUUUCGUAGUAUAGAGUAUAUGAAAUACAUACACAUAUGUAUAUAUACACACACGUAUAUAUACAUAAAUAUAUAUACACAUAUCAGAUACAUAGAUAUAUAUGAUACCCAAUAAACGUAUGUGCAGGCAUCGCUGUAUCACGUAAAGUCUGUACAAGGACAUGUUGCCUCUGAGGUAUUCAAUACAGAACAAACCAGACUUCAAAACAAAAAUACAGGAACGGAAGAUUCCUUGACAAUCACGUAAAAGUCAAUUACCUAACAUACAUCAUAAAUGUAGACACCCAGAUAAACAGUCCAUUUAAAUGCUAAGAUCGGAGAAAAGAGAGAAAAGGGAGAAGAAGAAGGGAGAAGAAGCAGCGGCCCAUACCGCCUGACUGAACUUGAUCGAAGCCGUCUGCCCCCGCAGCUGCCGGCAGCUGCUGCGAGGCAGAGCAGUUUAAAGAAAACGAGCAAUGAAGUGAGUUAGGCUUAGAAGGGAAAAGAGCCGGAAGAAGAAGGACGAAGGAAAAGCAGAAGGGAGAAGAACCUAUGUCGUAGCCCCGCGCCGCUUCUAGGUCCUUGCCUUGCCAAACACUUUAGGGAGAGCAUGAUUCGAGGCACAAGAAGAAGCGAUGAAGGACAAAGAUAAGACGUGAGAAGGAGAAGGAAAAGGAAAACGGGCAUUUGAAAAAGCCCGAGCGGCCCGUCCCUCCUGUUACGCCGCAGAAACGCGCCCCUGGCCACGGUCAAAGGGUAUGUAACUAGAAAGAGAAGCGAAAAAGAGAGGGAGAAGGAGAGGAACAAACAGAAGGGAAAAAACAGAACGAUGAGAAAGAAAAAGAAGGGGGAAGAAGGAGCGUGAAACCGCUAAGAACUCGAGAAGCCGACAGCGUGCCGUAGACGAGGACGCCGAGCUACUCCUUAUACUUCUAGUUAACCUCACCAUUCUAAGAAAACCUACCUAAAUAAACACUCCCGUAAUACCACGCAAAGUAUAAAUCAGACAAUUCAAGACGGGUCAAGAGAUUGUCUAAAACUAGGAGCCCAAUAUAGACGUAGUUAGAUAGAUCAGAAGUAACGUCCCAAGUUGAAGUACCUAUCUAAAAGCAAACACGGACUCUACAAAGGCGAUACAAAGAUACAAACGCUCAAAGGUAAAAUACGUGAGUUGGAAUAUAUAUAUACUCUCGACUGUACCGUACUAAACCUAUCGUCUGUAAUGCCUGAGUCCAAAUGUUCCUCGUUCGAAGUCCUAAUUUGACUGAUUUAAAAAAUCCCUUUUGAAGUUUUUGGGAGGGACACCAAAGCAUGAAAAAGUAAAAUCAUGGGACACCAAAUUUCACAUAGUUCAAUCAUGAGACACCAAAGCGUGAAAGAGUGAAAUCAUGGAACACCAAAUUACACAUAGUUCAAUCAUGAGAUACCAAAAUAAAAACAUAGUUCAAUCAUGAGAUACCAAAAUAAAAACAUAGUUCAAUCAUGGGACACCAAAAAUUUGGUAUCCCAUGAUUUCACUCUUUCACGCUUUGGUGCCCUAUGAUUGAACUAUGUGAAAUUUGGGUCUCAUGAUUUCACUCUUUCACGUUUUGGUGUCCCAUGAUUAAACUAUGUAAAAUUUGGUGUCCCAUGAUUUCACUCUUUAUCACUUUGGUGUUCCCCCCAAAAACUUCAAAAGGGUUAAAAAAUAGUUUGAAAUCCCUGUUUAAAAAAUAAUUGGGCACCUUGAUAAAUACGACUCUUUAUUUCCAAAGUAUAGUUCGAGAAGUGUUCCUUUAAAAUGAUUAUAUUUAGUUGAGGACUUUGAUAUACUCUGUCCUUUUAGGUCUUAAACUUUAGAAUAUUUAAUACAAAGACGUGUCUGUAUCCCAAUUUAAUUUUUUUUUAUCGUUUAAUCUAAUUAGGAAUGAACAGAAGAGGUGGUCACGUUUAGUUGGUAAAUCUACCGUUGUAGAGUUUGCUUAUAUAAAAACCAGGUACUUGACGUCGGCAUUUACGAAAGGCGUAACAGGAGUUCAGCUAGUGACACUGAACUUUAGGUCUUCGUUAUAUCGUCUCCCUGAGCAUUGUAAAGUAUCGUUAUCCACUUGGUCUUUCCCUUCAUGAGGGAUGUGUACUACUGCUUGAUCUUCUACUGCUGCGUCGCCACAGGGUCUGAGCCUGGAUUUUAACCGUCGUAUUUAAUCUUUUAUUUUAUAAUAUUUCUUGAACGUUUUUUGUAACUUAAUCACAUUCAGGUUGGAAUCUUUGACUUUUGCAACUAUAGAAACGGGUUGGUUUAAUUGUACUUCAUGUGAUGUUCAUGUGUCUUCUACCUUACACGUUAGUAAAUGGAAACUUAGAAAUCUCUACGACUGGUUUUCUCUUCGAAAUACGGACUUUUUUCUUUUUCCUUCCUUCUAAGUUUUCUUCAUAUUAUCAUAGAAUGUGUAAUUGUUUAAUCAUAUAGGUUGUUUUCUAAGCCCUUUAGAGAACCCCUGCGUUUUAAUAAUAAAUAUCUCAUUAACCAAAAUCUUUCGUGAGAUCAACAAGCAUUUCUUUUAAAAUGGUGUCUAAACUCUCAGGAUUAGGGCGACGUAUGAAGUAAUGUCUUUAUUAUGUUUUCUACACGUUUCUUUUCUAAAACACCAUUCUAAAGAAACAUCCAACAAGAGUUAGGUAAUUUACCUUUUACGUUGUCGUUUCGUGUACUGUAGGUUAUGAGAACGGUUUUAUAUCUCUAAAAGAUACGAGUCGUGUCAGUCAGAAUACACUCUGUUCUCCUUCGUUUUUUAUCUCUCUCUCUCUCUCUCUCUCUCUCUCUCUCUCUCUCUCUCUCUCUCUUCCUUUUCUUUUGAUACAAAAAAUUACCUUUCUCUUUGGUAUGGUUCGUUGCCUCUCUUUACUGUUUCCAAAGAGCACAGGUACUACCCAAUUACAAUCUCCUACUUAAAAAGGUGAACUUCAUUCUCUGGUUUCCGCCUAUCACGUUAGAAGACGAGGUGACCGUUCAUGAAAACUGGACGGUAGCGGUUCGUUAAACAGACUCUCUCGUCAUUGCCCGGGUAAUACUGGAAAUUUUGUCGCCACUCUAGCUGGGACGUAGUUUCGUGUGGCUACAAGUACGUUUGAUGAUGAAUUCCAUCUCGUUUAAUAAGUGUUAUUUCUUUCGGGACCCUGUACUCCUACGUUAGUUGUUACUCACUGUUAUUACUAUUUAAGUUUAUUUAGAGGGGUUAGUAGUGCUGGUGGAUAGCUAAAAGUCUCACAACGUGUAGUAUUUUUCGUCUGAAAUUGAUGAGAAAAAAGUAGAGAAUCCCUGACUUGACUUUACUACAGUAGUAGUUCUCUCUAUCGUUCUCUUAUAGAUACUUUUUCUAAUGGUUAAUUCCUCUUUCUCGAGAAUUACCCUCAUGGAAGGUGGUUUCUGCUUAUCAAGACAGACUCGAACUUCAAUGGUUUUGUAAAAGCAGUAAAACACGAAGUAAAGCUUUGUCGCUGCAUAAUUAAUAACCCUUGUUAGAUAGCUUUUUUUAUGUUGACAGUCUUCACGUAGCUUGUUCUUUCCUCUUGUUUUGUUUGUCCUUAUCCGUUUCUCUACGUCGGAAAGAAAAUGUCAAUUAGGUGUCAUCUAGUAGUCGUGUGACAGAUCAGAAGUCAUUUGACCGGGGUUCCACAGUAUUCCUUGUCCUUCCUAUAUACUUCAGUUUGAUUCCUUCUUUUUAAGUUUAACCAUGGGUUGAAUGGAGUACGUCCACUAGGAACUAGGUACUAUAGAGUUUCAAAGUGUUCGGUGUCCAUCUCGUGGUCCUUCUAAGUCACAGUUGGAAACAUGUUAACUCGGGACUUGUAUUCAUUUUAUAUAGUAAAUCAAGGAACGAACACGUCUUAGUCGAAAGUUUCCGAGGCGAUAAAGUUAAACUUUUUCAAGUCGGACUGAGGGAGUGGUUCAGGUAUAAAUUAUUUGGCCUUGUCUCGGAAACCUUGGUUCACGCCGACGCGAUGGACUCGUUGCUUCUAUAGCAAGGACAGGUCGUAAUAUACCGAUCCACUAUAGCUCAUAGGUCAUUUUAUUGUAAGGUUGCCUAGUAGUUUGAAGUAAACAACAUUACGUCACACGGCGGACUACAUAACAAGAGAUUGAGGAUUUUGAGGUCUUCUGCGUGUAUAUAUACCGGUCGCGAGGGACAUGUAAGUGUCGUUUGUUGAAGUUUCACCUUUGUUACGUGUGAUUGUUUGCUUUGGUUGUCUUUUUGAACCGCAGAAAUCGAAAGAAUGAUCAGGUACUUUUCCUAGAAGAUGAUAGAAUGUAUUAGUAUAGUGUAAAGUGUAAUUUUUUUGUGUACAUAAUAAGGGUUUGACGAGUUCAGAAAGUCUUUACGUACUAAAAUAAUAGAUGAUUGGUUAAACAAUACGAAGCAAGGAGGAUGUUGUAGAUUUUAAUACAUAGCUAGGGUACAAGCUGAUAUAGAUACGACGGUUUUAAUUUGAGGUCCCCGACAAACCGGGAUGACAUUUCAUAUGACGGCAACCUACUUCACUUAAAUAAAGUCUUUUUAGUGAUAUGAUUUUAACGAAACUGUCUAAGAGAGUUGUCGUCCGCAUCUUUAUUUUUUAACUUCGGCGACAAUGUUCUAAAGUAUAAGAGUAAAGACUAGGGACGACGUCGUUUUAGUGGUUUGCAAGAGAGACGGUUCGCGAGAUGACUUACGAUGAGAACGAUUUUUUGUCUUCGUCUUCGUCCCGCUUUAUCCGUGUAGUAUAACUUGUUGUGUAAUGACAUAGUUGGUAAAGUAGAGACACACACGCCCGCGCACGCACGCACGCACGCACGCACACACACACCCUCUCUCUCUCUCUCUCUCUCUCUCUCUCUCUCUCUCUCUCUCUCUCUACCAUGCACUUCUCCGCCCUGGUUUGCCUUAGCCUCAUCCGCCGCCGCGCCUCUCCGAACCUGCGGUACCGGUACCGCCGCUGCAGCGCCCCCGGUUCCUCCGCCCGCGUCACCCGCUCCCGCAGCCGCAGCUCCAGGAGGUCCCAAGAAGGUGCGGGGCGGUAGCGCUGGCCGUGGCCGUGGCCGUGGCCGUGGCCUCCUCCUCCUCUGGGUAGGCGGUACCGGCAUAUGCUUCGGGAUCCCUAGCUAGCGUAAGGUGGGGGUUAACUUCCCCUUCGGCGCUUCUUCCUCUACUUUACUAAAAACGUGGAACAAGACAUGGAAGAGGUAAAGCCCUUCUUUAUUAUAGGACCUGGUGCAGGUAGUGGAAAUACGCAUCUGGAACAAUAAGUUCAUUAUCUAAAAAAAAAAAAGAAGAAGAUAAAAGGAAGUAUCUUCCUUUCAUCAUCCACCAGAUAUAGGUUCCACCAUUUGGUCCAAGCUCGUCACUCCGCCUUCACAUUGCGCGGAACACAGCUGCCUGUGCAUGUUUAGCUUAUCACCCCGAGGCUGGUCCAAACCAAUUUUAGGCUAAGAUCGAGUUAGCCCGGCAUGUACCCAGCAAUACCCAUAACCUUAACCUGCCGGGUGCUAGUUUAGGUCAGUAACUACGGAAGGAUCUAUUACCCGACAUUUGGCUAGAAGGCGGGUUUGAAAACUUUAUUUAGACUGUGAACGGGUCUUAGGUCUUCGGCCAGUAGACAGCCGGAAGUAAAACCGGAUUGAAGACUAACGGUUAUUAUACACCUUCUAUAUUUAUGACAUACUAUGUAGAUGUAUUUAAACUAAAUGUAGAAGUACGGAGGCUAUUAUUCCGAACCUAGUAACUUACUGCGUACUGGUUGCACAACAUAGUUUGUUGUGCAGACUCGUUAUUUGAGAGCUCUUUUUUCUACUGUAAUACCUACCCAAGAACGCCCGGAAACGAUAGAAGUGGUUGCUACAAUUUAAGUAAAGUAGAAUUAAUUAUUUGUUUUUUCUAUCAAACGAUAGACCAAUAAAUUUAAAGAGUACUCAAGUUUUACGCUUAACAAUCAUUAGAAAUAUCGUGACCUACACCUCGAUAUUACCAACGUCCGUCUUCUUAGGUAUAUCCUCUCCUUUAUCUGGUAGCGUGUUCCACGAACGGGUACAAACGAAGACCGGGUUCAACGACCACGUGAAGUAGCCAGUUUAGGUUCGGUGGUUGUAUGUAAUUUUAGUGGUUUUUAACUGGGCUUAGCUGUUGAAAGGGCUUAUGCUGGGCCAAUUGGCUAAUCGGGAGAGCUAGUUUAGAGUGGGCGGGUGGUUUAGACAGCAUGGUUUUAGUUUGUUAUGACCUGUAGUACACUAGUCUAGUCGCAAUGAAUUAAUAUAUGAGCGCUCUCCCCUCCUCUGUUUUGUAAAAAUUGCUUCGAGUGAGAAUGAGAGAGAGGCAAGAGUAAGGAAGAGAGAGAGAGCGCCUCCCCUUGCUUCGCCGCCGCCGCCUCUACCGCUACCGCCUCCCGCCGCCGCCGCUGACCCGGUGAGGCGGCGACCUCCACAACGACAGCUAUCCCAACCUAUUCGCGUGCCGCCUCUUGCGGGAGCAGUUGGUGCUCGAGUGGAGGUUGGAGUAGCGGUAGUAGUUGCUCCACACACAAAUGACAGUCUAGGAUCUUAGGACACGAAAUCUAAGCCAUAUGAGGUGCCGCACCAAGAGGUAAGCUAAGUACCUCGAGUUAAUCAUAAAGAGUGCGUAAGAUCAUGUUUUUAAUUACCAGACUUAUGCUUUAAAGCAAGCCCAACAACGACAGUCUAAUAGUCUAAAAGGAAAAGAAAAAAAGAAAGACGUGACAUUUAACACUACUACUCACAAUUGCCGAACAGCAUAGAGGUAGUCCGACCACAAUCACCUACGUCGUUUAGUUAGCCAUUAGAAGAGAUGUACCAUAAGGUCUAAUAAAGCGCUCACUUGAUAGCUAUUCUACUCAACUUAAAAUUGCCCAGAACAUUUUAAGUGAAGAGAAAGACUACAUAAUAAUCCAACGCUGUUUCACGGGCUGCUUACGCGAGCCGGGAGCAGGAAAAGAUUAGUCUAUAUAACAGAGUAGUUUCCAUUAAAGCUUGUAAAUCCAUGUAAUCAAUUAGCUCGUAAUCAAUAACACAUAACUAAACGUCGUCGAAACCAUUACCUUUCAGGACCUUGUCAAUCAAUCUCCGACGUCUAGAUUAUACGGAAAUCAAACUGAAGAAAGUACCUACGAGACUUCUUUGGGGACAAAGAGUAAAAACGAGAACAAAGCGUCUAGUUCUUAAGUUGUGUCAAUCUACGACGAGACAGUAAAGAAAGAUUACGACCGAACCUUAGAAAGCUCAACCUAUUUAAACUUCUUCGAACACCACACGCAUGCGAGUAAUCAAUAAAGAAUAUUGACAAAAUGAACAUACGAUUACUAUGUGCCAUAUCAACCCACUAAUUUAACAGCUUCUUCCUAGUAGUGGGACACGCUGAAAAUCGGACUUGUGUCUCAUCACGUAUUGGCUAACUAAAACGUUCUCUUGACAAUUUUCAAUUUUGAAGAAACUCAAGCAAAGGAUAUUUUCACAAUUUAUUGUACCAUAGACUUGAUGGCUGGCAGAGAUCUCGUUCACCGUUUUCCGAAUCACCAACCAUAGGCUCCAGGAUUCAAACUUAAGAUCAACUAAGUAUAAAGGUUGAUUCAAAUAAAAAUUUCUUUUAUUUACUUCGUCCAUCGUAUGACGGAUAGAGAUUUUUUUUUCUUUUUGUACCAUAGACUUCUAAGACUUGAAGAAGAUUGAGAUUCUGGACAGCCAAAGUACUUCCGUACCGAAUCUAAGGGACAUUGACUAUAAAUUGUACAGUCCAAACAUUACGCGUACCAAGUCUACUAAGGUUGGUACGUGUACUAGUCCCCACGAUUCUGGUACGGACUCCACUAAGGAUACUCUAGGCAGGAAAACCAAAAUCCGGAAAAUAACUACGAUUGUAAAAUUUAUACAAACACAAUAAAGUAAAUCGUUAUCGUACGACAAAAACGACACAUGAACCUCAUGUACAAAGGGAACUUCUUUAAGUUAGUCGACAAAGAAACCAGGAGCUUCUUUUAUACGUACGGUAAAACCUCAACGCAAUGGCAUAUUUACCAAUUAAAAGAGAGGAAAAAGUGAAGGACUACUAUCUAUAAAAGAACAACGGUUUUACAAAAAAUAAAACAACUUGUUCAGUUAAUUAAAAAUACAUAUACAAUCCUCGAAACGACACGUUUUGGACGAUAUAGAUCUAAAUAAGAUAAUGAUCUAAACCCGUUAUAUACUUAAACCCUAAGGUAAUAGUGUAAAAUUGAUUUUUUUUAUUUAAGGUGGAAAGAUAAGAAAAUUUGACACACACGUCUCUUUAAAAUUUUCAUUUGAAGAACUCAGAAGUGUUUCUUUUCACUUGUAGAAUCACAGUACGGGUUCCGGGAAAAACAUUUCGGUAAAAUCCUAUUCCACAUCAAACUUUUAAAAUUUUCAUUUGAAUAAAGAACAAAUAAACCAGUCAACCGUCGAAUACACCUGUCCAAUCUUAUGCAGUAGGAACGCCACUACGAUUUGAACAGUUCCACGUCUCACUAACACAUGUCCCGAUCUUAGUGGAACAAGUUGCACUACAUAAAGUAUAAUAUGCGAACAGAGAGAACACUGCCCUUCAUUACCUAUUCCUCGAAAGAUCUUAUAACCGAAUUUCUUGUCUGCGACUACUUUUUUCGGAGGGUUUUUCUUCCUUUUUGUACAUUUUCAACUUCAUGCAAUACCUUUUAGGAAGAUUUUUCCUAAUCAAACAAAUUAGAAUAUCAGCGAUAAACACUUAUAUAGAUGAAAAUCCUGGUCUUCUCUCGAUGGAGACGUGACGAGAGACUCCUCCUUUACUUAGGUAAAAGAUAUAAAGACGUCGGUCUCCUUUUGAGGUUCCACGAAGAUUGUAGUGAAUUCGAAGAACACGUCCAAUAUCGUGAAAAACAGAUAAGUUUAUCAUUAAAUUCGAGGGAAAGACAAAUGUAAAAAGACGACGAGUCAAAAUUUCUCUCGAAUUUAAUGGUAGAUAGUUCCAAAUAUGUUGAGUUAUUAUAUAAGUUAACUUUUAAUUCCUGUAAAGUUCCAGAAAUAAUGAUAGUUCGUUGAAGUUAAUAACGGCUAGGUAAGACCUGAAGGUCAUAACCCUUCAGACAAGAGUACAAUAUUAGUCGAGUUCAUCAAAUUAGAAGAAAACAGUUAAAGACUCCAAGUGUGUCUAUAUUAAAAGUCACUACCUUAUUAUACCUCCCGGGUGUUAUGUUUCCUUUACGAUCCGUCCGUAGAGCUGUCAAAUCCCGGCCGAUUAAACCAUACGCGUACUGGAAUACUGAUACCAAGAUAAAUACGGGUAAUAUUCAUCUUACUACGUAGACUUAUUCUUGAUCCGCGUUUAUUUUAAAUGUAUUGAAACGAAACUGUAAAAGGGUUCAUUACAAAAAUUGACCCCUGAAAGGAUAGAGAAAUAUUUUCUCUCUUUAGAAAAAAAAUAAAAACUUUCCUUACAUAUCGCAUAAAAGAUAUGCAAAGUAAUUUACAUUAUUCUCAAUGUACAUUUUGUUUAUAUUUAAUAUUAACGACCCCGACUCAUACGGGCGUCGUUAUUAACUAGGAAGUUUAACUUGGGGGUCAAUGUUUUUAAACUUGGUGUAAUCACGUAGUAACACUUUAGAUAAACCUCGACAAGAGAUGACCCAUAUCAUUGUUUCUAAAACCGAACAUGUAAAAGACCAUAAGAAUAGGAAGUAAACUGGGAGUGUUCCCCCUUACCCCCUAUACCAAAACACGACGAUGAAAACUACGUAAAAACGACAAUCCAAUCUACUAUGGUUGAGACUUCUACUUUUCUAUCUUAUUUAACUCGCAUACUUCCUUUAGUAGGUUACCUACCUAACCGUCGGUAUAUUCCAAGACAUCAUCAACUCUAAACAUGAAAGCAGCCACGUAUAAAAGUGAUCGAUGGACUUAUUAAAGUAGAAUAGUCCAAUGAAUAUGGUCGCUAAUAAAAGUUCUAAAUAUACUAGAUCGACAGUUCGACUAUUUUGUUCCGGAUCGAAUACAACUAGUGGUCCAUACAAUAAGUACUAAUGUACGGUUCCUGAUGUUAAUAAUAAUUUGUUUAAUGAAUAGGACAAUCAACGACUACGUCAAAGAAUUUUAUUACUAGACUACUGAUUACAAGAAUGGUCAUGAAAAAUGGACUGGUUGUAGCCAUUCUCCUUUUAUAUUUUUUUUAUCAAAAAAAAGAAAAAAGAAAAUUCCCGCAAGUACUCUAAAUUUAAAAAAUAACUUUUAAAUAAAGAGUACUUCAGAUAAAAAUACUAUCUUAAGGACAGACUACCCUUAUAAAAUAAACCAUGUAUAGAAUCUUAUAUACUUUUAUAUAAUAGAGAUGUAACCCAAGUUGUUUCUUUAAUAGGUUGAUAUUUUAAUAGGAUUAUAAAAAAAAAAAAAUCUCUCUUUUUUACGUACUAAGAAAAGUAAACCCAAGUGUUUAAUAGUUAUAUUUAUAAUAUACAAUAAAAUAUGGUUUAAUUAACAUAUUUUUAGUGUUCAUGAACUUAUUUAAUUUAAAUAAAUUUAUAAAAUUUUAAACUCUCUAAGUAUUAAAUAGACAGAGAACAUAAUUUAAAUUUUAAACCCUUAUUCAUAUUUUAAACCUUUUAUUAUUCUAAGUUAUCAUUUUAGUUUUAAAACUUUCCGAACUAUCCACUAAGUUUUACUAAGUAUCAAAUCUAUUCAAAACAUGCAAAAAUGAUAUAAUGUUAAAAUUUACCGGUUUUUCUAAAACGUUUGAACAGUUGACUCAUCCUAUUACAAGAUGAUUGUUAAACAAUCACAUAGCUUCCAACCAUCUUCAGUUUUUUCUACAACAGAUGUCAAAGACCAACAAAGAGUCAGUUGGAUUCCAGGCUGGAGUCAAUCAGCGGAAUAUCUCAAGUGACGUAAGCUUAACCCAUUGACAGUUUUAAGUUUCGGUUAGGUUUCACGCACGCUAGUCAACGGGUAUGGUGAAGGUCUCGGUGUUUUUAUUUUGUUUUUGUAUAGUUUGGUUUGGGGUUUUCUACGGUUUAAGGUGGUUUACUAGUUUUCUCAUCCUCCAUUAUCCGUUUCACUCAAUACUACCCAAAGUUCAAAAUCCCGGCUUUUUAUCCACUUUUGACGUCAAAACUAGAUGCGUCGACGUUAACGAUAAAAGUUCAAAGUGUCUUCGAGUUCUACUCACUCAUCUCGAUGAGUUAUCGCUCUCAUCAUAUCCCACACCCUCCUCUUCUACCGACCCCCCUACUCCUCUUUUUUUUUCUUUCUCUCCCUUGCUUUCUUCCCAUCCAUAUCGAUCCCUCUACACUCCUUCUAUCUCUCUCUCUCUCUCACUCUCUUACUGUUCCCAUGGAUAUACCGUAUGUAAGGAGUCUGCUCUGCCCUUUUCCCACCCCACUCCAUUCCUCACCCUACCCCAUCCGUCUUCGACGGCCAAGUCGAUCAAGUCAGCUGAUUGGGAGUUGACGCCAGCUGACGGCCCGACUAGACUCGCCUUCAGACUUGUGUUGUUGGCCAAGGUUGCCGCGAGUUUCCAUUGAGUGGGUUAAAGUUUUAACUUCAGCCAUAAUAAACCGUUUUUUAUUUUUAGAUCUAGUUUUCAAAAUUUAAUUUAUCUACUUUCUAGUCCCCGACAUCACCUCCACCUUAAAGUAGGAGGUUCUUACACUCCGGCAUAACCUUGACUCUCCUAUUUGCUUAAGUUCUCUACUUCGCCGAAGAUCGUUUUUUAAGGAAGCCGCUAUCGUCACUGAGUGAUUAUUGGUUGCAAUACGAAGACUUAAAGAUUAUUUAUUGAAGGAAAAACUGCCACCUUAUUCCAGGAUAUAUGCGAUAUAUUUUUUAAAUUUUAUGGUGACUUUCACUCCUUCAAACAUACGAAUCAGGAUUGAGGAUUCUUCUUCCUACGAGUCUAACAUUUAUUCGAGGAGUCUUCUCUUACCCCUACUCUACUUCCUACGCAAACACGCUGUUGCUGCUGCCCUUCCGUGCUCUUCUCCAACGCCGAAACACUCCUCGUUAACUCUUCAGUUUAAUUCAACUUAUGUACUUGUCCUAAUUGCAGUAGUAAUCCCCCCUAUUACUCUUGCGGAUGUGAUCAAUGUCACCUUUUACUCAUCUUGGUACGAAGGAACCCGACUUUUAACAAACAGCGAUCAAUUAAGGAAAGGAAAAAUUUUAAAAACGGAUAAAAAUAGGAAAAAUUGGAGAAAGAGGAGAGAAUAAAAGAACAAACAAAAGUGGACCAAAAAUGGUCAGGAAACGACGGAGUCAAAAAAUCAGCUCAAGUAAUGCAUGGGAUUAUUUACUUCGAACAAUAAAGAGAGAGAGAGAGAGAGAGAGAGAGAGAGAGAGAGAGAGAGAGAGAGAGAGAUAUAUAUAUAUAUAUAUUGAUCCGACCUUUUGAUAAUUAUCGUGGUUAUUGAACCACGAUAAUUUAAAAGACGGGAAACUAAUUUUCUACACGCCAAUCCUACUAUGCCCAGGGGAUCCCAACUCACCCAACAACCAACUUAUCAUAUUAGCUUGCCUACUUUUACUAUUUUCUUCAUUUAGAUUGCCAUCUUUUGAACUAUCGUGGUUUACGAAGCACGAUAGCUAUCAUAGGGUCGGCCUGAUAUAUAUAUAUAUAUAUAUAUCUCUCUCUCUUUCUCUCUCUCUCUCUCUCUCUCUCUCUCUCUCUCUCUCUUGAUCCGAUGAUACGAUAAUUAUCCUGGUUCAGUAACCACGAUGGUUCAAAAACUGAUAACCUAAUUCUCUACACGCCAAUCCUACUACACCCGGGGUAUCCCAACUUACCCACCAACCAACUUAUCAUAUUAGAUUGCCUACUUUUACUAGUUUUCCCGUUUAGAUUGCCGCUUUUUGAACUAUCGUGGUUCACAAAGCAUGAUAAUUAUCGUAUCAUCGGCCUGAGAUAUAUAUAUAUAUAUAUCAACUCAAUCUUAUGAUAGCCAUCGUUUGCCUGAGGUAACGGUGGUUAAACAAAAGCUACUACCUCGGAGGUUUAGCUGCUAGCCGUGGUAACUUAUACUAAAUAUAGUAAACUUCAUAGAUCUUUAGUUUAAAGUACGAAAAGGCUAUAACAAGAGAAUAGGUAGUUCACCCGCAUUUUUACUUGCUGACUUUUAUUUAUAGGAGAUUUUUCACUACUAUCUUUAAAACAUUAGUUCUAGCUCUCAUAUCUAGAAUAAGAUUUAUCAAAUUUCUUAAAAGAUUGGUUUUAAGUUAACUAAACCUAUCGAAAUGUGGCAAAUUGCUCUUUUGUGUAGUAUAGCUGGUAAUUUUAAUGUCUAAAACUUUGAGAAACUAGUAAUCAGUUUACUACAGUUUUUCUAAACUUUAAACUAAAGAUUUGUGAAGUUCACCAUAUUUAAUACAAGUUGCCACGGCUAGCAGCUAAACUUCCGAGAUAGUACCUUUUGUUUACCUACCGUUGUCUCGGGUAAACGAUAGCUAUCGUAAGAUCGAGUUGAUAUAUAUAUAUAAGUCUUUUAUAUAAAAAUCUUUUAAAAUUCAUUACGUCUUGUUGUUCCACACCACGGGUCGUGAUAUAUAUUUGUUUGUUCCUAAAUUCACGGCACCGUACCUCAACACGGCCUUUAAACGGCCGUGUCAUGCCGUGCCACGUACGGCUCGGCACGGCUACACACGGCCAGUUUUUUUUAACACACGGCUGUGUAUUAUCAUACUUUAUAAAUAAAAGAAAUCGUUGUUUUAUAAGAUUGAUAAAUAAUACAGAAAAAUAGUGUCGAAAACUUGAAAUAACUCUUUUAAUGAAUAAUUAAAUUUCUUAUCUCCCAAAACUCGACACGGUAGCCGUGCCCCAGAUAUAACACAUCCAUAGAACAACCGUGCUAUGCCAUGCCACCUAUGCCGGGCACAGCUACCCGUGAAUUUUGCAACAUUCGUUUCGAGGUUUAGUGUUUAUCGUGGGAACUUUAAAAUUUUUUCUUACGACGGUCUCUCUUUUUGUUUCUUUUUUGAAGUUUAUAGUGAGGACAUCAAAGUAUGAAAGAGUGAAAUCAUAAGAUAUUAAAUUUCACAUAGUUAAAUUACGGGACACUAAAAUAAAAAUAGAAAAAUAAUGGCCAAAACAAUUAAAAAAAAACAAUUUAAUCACUGUUUCAAUCUUAAUUUCCCAUGACUUCAUUUAUAAGCUAUUUGGAUUCACCCCGUAGACUUCAAAAAACAUAUAUUAUUAAAUUGCUUUAUAAUUACCUCUUCGACUGCUUUUUUAUUUUUAUUUUGGUAUCUUAUGAUUGCACUAUAUAAAAUUUGAUGUCCUAUGGUUUCACUCUUUUAUACUUUAGUGUACCCACCCACCAUAAACUUCAAAUGGUUUUUUGUUUCCUUGUGAGACAUCGAUUAAUUUAGUCACACUUUUGUUAUAGACCGAAGUUUAAAAAUAAAAAGGAAAGUGACUUAUGUAAAAAAUUACGUCUAUUAUUAUUUUGAUCAUUCUAGGCGUGGACAGAAAUUGAUAAAUUUAUGGAAAGGGCAUUUCCUUUACAGCUUUGCACGUAUUAUGGAAUUUUUAAUAUUAAAUAUAAGCUUUGUCACGCCUCACAUGAUGAUUCGGGAAGUGGAGAAAACUUCGUGUCUCUUUCUGUACCGUGAGAAUGUAGCGGAGUUGUCACGGGGAUUAUCCCUGGUGGCGACGGCGCACUUAUCCCGCGAGCCGACGUUUUUGUGAUUGUCAAUUAUUUUUGUAUUUUCAUGUUUUUUUUAUUUCUUUCUUUUUGUAUGUCGAUCGACCAGUACAUAAAACUCUGACUUCAUAUACAAAAAAACCAAUUUUGAUGCUUGUGGGCAGUUAUAAUUUUGUACACUCUGAACUUUCGAAAAAGUUCUUUAAAUAAAAAAAAUUUUUUUUAAAUUAUGUCUUCACCCUACCUACCGUUAAUUCGACCUACUUUUCAUAGCCUCAGGUCAUUAUCCGUUCGUAGGUCGGUGAGGUAGACUCGGCGCUCAAGGCCCCUUGAGUCGUAGCGUGCCAGCUGUGAGCUACGUUCUUCAAAUCCCAAUUAAACAUACGGUUUCGCUUUUCUUGGAUUCCGCACUCCCGGUGUACACCCGGGUUCGCUCAAGUCGCACCGUGCCAAGAGUGGUGUUUAGUCUGCAUGAUAGGCACCUACAACCGUCAGCCAGCCUCAGGUCAUUAUCCUCGAGUCGGAUCGAUCGAACUACUAAUUGUUGGUCGUAUGUAUGACGUAUAUAUGGGAUUAGGGUAUUCCGAUUCCUUCCUCUAGGGAAAUAUAUAUUAUAACAAUCGCAAGAAUUAAACCGAGGAGUUGGUUUAAUUCGUACGCCCGUCCAUUAAUUUCGGGAUUUGAGCACUCAAUUCGUCGUACGUACGUCGAGUUGUCAGUUGGUGCCCGACCUCCCUACUAGUUCUGCUCUUGACAUUCAUAACUUUUCAAGGAAUGAGACGGACGUCCCACGACAUCCAUUUAACUGGAACAGCUUGGCCCCUACCUAGUCCGUCCAAGGGUUUCCUUACCGGGAGUCCUAACCUCGGGUGGCAUACGCCAACUGGGCAAUGUAUGCACUUGAAGUACGACGUUAGGCAUAGACGUAGUUCGCAUGGCUUGUUCCCUCUCGAUCGAUCGUACGUACGUAUCUCUGUUCGUCUCCCAUAAUUGUUUUCUCGCUCCAAAGACGACGACCGCCUAGUAAGUAUGGUAAAACUCGCCCUCGCCCUUGCCCUCGCCCUUGCCCUCGUCUUCGCCUUCUGUGCUUCCGCCUCGGCGACGUCGGUCUGUUGUACUCCUUCUCGUGUCUCUCUCGAUCCUUUCGGAAGGAGUCGUAAAAUCAAUCGAUUUAUAUAUUGGUGAAACCUUGCUUCAAAGGGAUUCGAGAAUUAAAACCCUGCGUAUGUAUACAUAUCAUGUUGUCCCCAAAAUUAAUAAAGAUAGUUGGUGUGCAAACAUCCGCUAGCUAGCUUAGUGCCCACCGUAAGGGGUCGUUCCCGUACGCACGUCAAGGGUUAGUCGACUUUCCCAACUCCUUUUCCUGUACUUUCUUUGCGCUCGUUGCAGAACGCCUGCAAUUAAUUAAGAGGUAGUACCUUAAAGGAGAUUAAAUUAGAUUUAUAACUCUGUUAAGAAAGUGUAAAAAGAUAGUCUUUUAUUUUCACACUUUUCUAAUGACACUCUUUUCUCUGAAAAUCUAUUUAAGGCAUAUUCUAAAUGUGGAUGCCUAUCGAGUAUUAGUAUUCCCGAACAAACCUGUGAAGUUUUAAACACACUGUAAAAAAGUGAAACCAUAAUUAUACAAGAGAAUGGUAUAAUGAAAUAAAAUUUCAUGAUAUAAUUAUAUAUGAUGAAUCUACCCGUAACAAAAUGAGGGAAGUUGGUUGAACGAAACUAAAAUAAAAUAAAAUAAAAUAAAAUAAAAUAAAAAACCCGUCUCGAUUCUGGAGGAUAAAUAAAAGGUGUCUUUUAUAAGAUAAAACCUGGAUCAAAAUUAUUUUAAAUUAAAAAAUCUAUUAAGAAAGCUCAAUUUUAAAAUAAAAAUAGAGAGGGUUGCACAUACGUUCACCUUCACAUUUUAUAUAAAGAUAUAGAUAAAUUUAGCUAAAAACUCAUUAUUAAAGUUCUAACACUUUUUACCUUGUUUCUAUAGUUCACCGAUCGAUCUCUCCAGGCUGGUGUUUUUCCUUUUCCUAUUCUUUUAUUUCUUGUUUUCUUCUAUUUUUUACACACGUAAUUCCUGCUGGUUGUUAUAGAGUGGUUAGUUUAUUGCUCCCUUCGCUUCUUGUACUAUAAAUGAAGUGGGCUUUUCUCUUUAGUUUUUUGUUUUACUGUCUUGGUUUUUCACUUUUACUAUACACGAAGUCUUAUAGGUCUUCUUUCAAAUCACUAAAAUUUAACAAAAAAAAAAAAUCUCUCUCCAUAGUACGAUGGACGAAUUAAGCAAAUAAUUAAAGUAUAUCUUUAUUUGAAUCGACUUUCACACUUAGUUGAUCCUAAGUUUGAACUCUGGAGCCUAUGGUUGGUGGUUCGAAAAACGGUGAAUGCGAUCCCUGCUAGUCACACUAAAAUUUAACAACAACCGUCUAAAAACUCUACCGGAAUUUAGAUGUAUCUAUCAACAAUUCGAUAGGUAAACAAAACAACUACCUAAUAAGUUCGAUCUUCUAUGAUACGUAUAAAACUUACCUGACGCUUGUUUUUGAUCUAUUACACGUUUGAAACACAACUUCCUAAACUGGAUUAGAUUUUACAUUUUGAGUAUCAAUCUUUUUAAGGAGUGUGAUAUCUAUACUAUCCUAAAAAAAGGGUUCGUACACUUAUCUUCACUCGUAGAGUCGCUGCUUUUUCAUCAAAUUCAGUUGGAGGUUCAAAAAACGAUUUUUAUCCUUGUUUGGAAAGUCCAAAUCACGACCUGGAAAGAACGUGGUUUAACGUGAGUGAGAUCUCAGGGCAGUUAACCAUUCAGGAGUUCGAUCAGGUUUUGAUGUUAAAGUUCCAACACCUUUUUACUUGUUUCAAUAGUUCACCGAUCUUUCCUAGCUGGUGUUUUUCCUUUUCUUAUUUUUUUUUUAUUUUCUGUCUUCUUGUAUCUUUACACACGUAAUUAACUUCUGUUGGUAGUUAUAGAGUGGAUAACUGAUUGAUCCCUUCGCUUCUUGUACGAUAAGGGAAGUGGGGAUUUUUUUAAUUUUUGAUUUUGUAUUUUUUAUUUUUCACUUUUACUAUACACGAAGUCUUAUAGGUACUCAAUCUACCAGCCGAUUCACUAAAAAUAACAACCGAUUAAAAAGUCUACCAUAAAUUUAGAUGUACUUAUCCAAAAUUCAAUAGGUAAACAAACCAACUACCUAAUAAGUUAUAUCUUCUAUGACACGUAUAAAACUUACCUGGCGCUUGUUAUUGAUCUAUUACACGUAUAAAACACAACUUCCUAAGUUUGGAUUAGAUUUUACAAUUGAGUAUCAAUCUUUUUAAGGAGUGCGAUAUAUAUACAAUCCUAAAAAAAAAAAGGGGUUCGUACACUUUUCUUCACUCGUAGAGUCGUUGCUCUUUUAUCAAAUUCAGUUGGAGUUACAGAAAACGAUUUUUGUUCUUAUUUGAAAAGUCUAAAUCACGACCUGGAAAGAACGUGGUCUAACGUAAGUGAGAUCUCAGGGCAGUUGACCAUUCAGGAGUUCGAUCAGGUGUUGAUGUUAAAGUUCCAACACCUUUUUACUUGUUUCAAUUGUUCACCGAUCGAUCUCUCCUAGCUGGUGUUUUUCCUUUUCCUAUUUUUUAAUUCUCUGUUUUCUUGUAUCUUUACACACGUAAUUAACUUCUGCUGGUAGCUAUAGAGUGGAUAACUGAUUGAUCCCUUCACUUCUUGUGCGAUAAGGGAGUGGGGAUUUUUUUAAUUUUUGAUUUUAUAUUUUUUAUUUUUCACUUUUACUAUACACGAAGAUUCGAUUCACUAAAAAUAACAACCGAUUAAAAAACCUACCAUACAUUUAGACGUACUUAACAAAAAUACAAUAGGUAAACAAACGGACUACCUAAUGAGUUUUAUUUUCUAUGAUACGUAUAAAACUUACCUGGCGCUUGUUCUUGAUCUAUUACACGUAUAAAACACAACUUCCUAAGCUUGGAUUAGAUUUUUCUAUUCGAGUAUCAAUCUUUUUAAUGAGUGUAAUAUAUAUACAAUCCUAAAAAAAAGGGUUCGUACACUUAUCUUCACUCGUAGAGUCGCUGCUCUUUCGUCAAAUUCAGUUGGAGGUUCAGAAAACGAUUUUUGUCCUUAUUUGGAAAGUCUAAAUCACGACCUGGAAAGAACGUGGUUUAACCUAAGUGAGAGCUCAGAGCAGUUGACCAUUCAGGAGUUCGAUCUGGUCUUGAUGUUAAAGUUCCAACACCUUUUUACUUGUUUCAAUAGUUCACCGAUCUCCCCUAGCUGGUGUUUUUUCUUUUCCUUUUUUUUAUUCUCUGUUUUCUUGUAUCUUUAAACACGUAAUUAACUUCUGCUGGUAGCUAUAGAGUGGAUAACUGAUUGAUCCCUUCGCUUCUUGUGCGAUAAGGGAAGUGGGGAUUUUUUUAAUUUUUGAUUUUAUAUUUUUUAUUUUUAACUUUUACUAUACACGAAGUCUUAUAGGUACUCAAUCUUCCAGUCGAUUCACUAAAAAUAACAACCGAUUAAAAAACCUACCAUAUAUGUAUAUGUAUGUAUGUAUAUAUAUGUAUGUAUAUAUAUAUAUAUGUAUAUAUAGUAUAGAUAGUAUAGUAGCCUAAUUUUAUAUCUAUAUAUGUAUGUUCUUUUUUUUUUGAAUUUCAUGUUUCCAAAAUUUUAUUUCUUAUGCCUCCGCAGCCAUCAUAGUAUUUUAAAAUGGUUGAUUGCUAAUUUUGAAUUCACUACAUAUCCAUAUUUUGCAUCCAACACAUAUGCAUAUAUGUAUAUGUGAAUAUGUUUUUCUAUUUUGCAUCCAACACAUAUGCAUAUAUGUAUAUGUGAAUAUGUUUUUCUAUUUGCUUCUUUACGGUUUGAUACAUAGUAAUGUACUGCUUGGCAAACUAUAUACUGAACAACAACUCAAAGACCAGCUUUUACCAAUUUUCUAAUCUUUUUUUGGCCUUCACCACUUGGCGCGGCAUACAAGAAAAUUUAUGCUGAAAUUUACUUUUGCAGAGAGUGACACCAUGGAAUGCCAAUAAACUACGUCAUGCCAUCAUAAAUGGUGCAGAUAUUCAUCCUGGAGCUACACAUUACAAGGACAAAGAGAGCAUGUAUAAACUCCAAGUUGGGCCAAAUAAACGUUAUGCAAUCUCUAAGAAGUUGCUUACAUCUAGAGGAGCUGUUGGGCAACAAGGAAAAGGCCCGGAAUCCGAGUUUGAAGGGAAAGUUGUUUAUCGUCACUUACAAGAUGGCGAUAUAGUACUUGUUAAUAGACAGGUAAAAGUUUCUCACAUGGUGCUUGCCCAAACUCCUUUUCUUAUGAACAAGUUCAUUUCUUAUUUAUUUGAAUUGCAAAUUGUUUAAUAAAUAGUAACUUCUAUGAGUGGAGUUGCUUUAUUUCAUAUGCUAACUAGUAUAUACUUUUGGUUCACAUCUAUUUUUCUUUUUCGCUUUUUCAUUUUCGCGUAUUCAAUAUAUAUACUUGAAAUUGAGACUUUGAUGCAUGUCUAAUUGCAUCUAUCCGACAUUAACAAUGGUAAUUGCAUCUAUUGGACAUUUUGUUCGAAUUUUAUUGUAAUGACCCAGCCGGCACUAACUUGUUAGACCUAAACCACCAACCCAAAAUGCCUAAUCCUAGUUAUUACUAUUCAAAUCCAUUCGUCCUUAUAUUUUUAUACACAAUUCUUUUCCCAUCUGGCGCCACAAACUCUCCCCAUUUAAACCUUGACGUCCUCGUCAAGUCUAGUUUCUUGGUCAUUCCCUAGCGAUCACAAAGCGAUAGCGAUGUGAGACCUAUCUCUGACUUUUGGCUGGUAAAUUGACUCUAAUACCAAAAUUAAUAGCCCAACCCUUUAGUGUCAAUAACUUAUUGAUCCCAAACCACCGGCCCAAAAUUCUUUAAUCUUGGUUAUUAUUAUUAGUGUUCUUGAUACUGAUGUACCCAAUUUUGACACUGAUGAGGACAUCAAGUCCAAUUCCCUAGCUUAAGAUCACUAGACGACGUGAGAUGUAGAGGUGGCGCCUGCUGGUUCAGAGGUGGCUCCCUCCAAACCGUGGUGUAGCAUUUUGUUCCGCAUUACCACUUUACUUUUACAAUGCUGCUAAUUGGUUUUGAUGUAAUGAUCUAGCCGGCUAAUACUAAUAACUCGUUAGGCCCAAACCACUAGCCCAAAAUGCUUUAAUCCAACUAUUAUUAUUCGAGCCUGUGGUCCUUAUAUUUUGAUGCACAAUUCUUUUUCUAUCUAAUGUGGGACUAUUGAGGCAUCACAUAUACGCUAUGCUAACUGAUACUAACAUUUCCAUGAUAGUUAGAAUUUUUUAAAUUGCUAUUCUCUAUUUGCCUCGGUUAACUAAAGAAAAUAAACUGCACUACUGGAAAAACUAGGUUUUUUCCUCUUUCUUAUUAAUGUAUAAGAUAGUUUCAACUUUCAACCAAUUGAAUAAAUAGUUUCUUCUUAUAUUUCAUUAACUUCCCUUUGUUUGCAUAACAAGUUACUGUGAAGCUAAAAAGAGGCAACAAUUCAAUGGUCGUUGGAAGCAUAACAGCUAUAAAUCCAAUAUUAAAAUCAAGUUUUGUGCACAUUUUAAAUUCCUCAUUGGUUUUUUUGAAUUGUCAGCCCACUCUUCACAAGCCGAGCAUGAUGGCUCAUUUUGUUCGUGUUUUAAAAGGAGAGAAGACACUUCGUAUGCACUAUGCUAAUUGCAGGUUUUUUGCCGUGCUUUCUUUAUAUUUAUUUUUUUCUUUUUUUUGGUGCUAUAUUGUAGGAAAUUCACUUGAAUUCGUUGUUUACUUAGUACUUACAAUGCUGAUUUUGAUGGAGAUGAAAUGAACGUGCACCUUCCACAAGAUGAAAUUUCUCGUGCUGAAGCCAUUAAUAUUGUAAAUGCCAAUAAGCAGUACAUUGUUCCAACAAGUGGAAAUCCUAUAAGGGGUCUGAUCCAGGUAAAACGAAACUUUCAAUAUUUGAUCUCUGCUUGUUUAUUUAAGAAGUCAUUUGAAGUCCAUACUUUAGUUUUAGCAAAAGCCAGACACUGUCUUUUUGGAACUUUCAACCCAAUUUUCAACUUUAGGAUCAAAUUACCCCUCUGCUACAUGACAGCGAUCUGCACUUCUGAGUGAUAAAUACGCAAGCUUGUAAUUACAGUUCCACACUUUAACUGUGCAUUUAUAAUUUAAAACUAUGCGAUUCAAAACUCUAAACCUGGUCCUGUAGCUGAGGGACAUUUGGCCCUUGAAGUUGAAAACUUGCAAAAGUUAAAAAAAGGUCCGGUGUUUGAAAACAAGGUUAAAAGUUACUUUUUUUCUCCAGUAAAAAUUUCCUAUGGUCUUUUUAAAGUAAGUAUUUACCUUAAUCUUUUCUUCAGGACCAUAUUGUAAGUGCUGUACUCCUUACAAAGUUGGACACUUUUUUGACCCGUGAAGAGUAUCAUCAACUUCUCUAUGCUUCCUGUGUGCCUACAUCUUCCAGUUCUCAAGGUAGUAGGUUGGGCCAAAAGCUUUCUUUAAGUAGUUCGGGCAAUGAGAUAGAGCCACUUCUUCCUGCUAUUUGGAAGCCCAACCCACUAUGGACAGGGAAACAGGUUAAAUAUUUACACCUUUUUGAAUGCCUGGAGCUUUAUGUAAUAUUAACUGUCUAUUGAGUUGUAACCAUGAAACAUGAAAAAGCUGCAUUUGUAUUGGGCAUAUUCAUACAUGAUCAUCUAUUUACGUAUCUCAUCCUGUAAGAUCCGAAUUAUUUGGAAUAUACCCCUUAAAGUUCAUGGUGGUUAACUAUAAUUAGAGGUAGUUUAUUAACGAGGUGCAUUUCAGAGAGUACAAAGGUAUCAGUGUAAACAUCAAGUCCUUGAAGGACAUAUGGAAAUCCAAAAUUUGCAAGGAUAUGCAUGUACAGAAAAGUUUAGGGAUUAUAUUAUUUGUAAAGACUUCUUUUUUUGGUUUUAACUUGUAUAUCUUUGCAGGUUAUCACUGCAAUCUUAAACUAUGUUACAAAAGGCCGACCACCUUUUACUCUUGAAAGUAAAGCAAGGAUCCAAAAGGAAUAUCUAACUGGAAAAGAUCACCCUGAACUCAAGUUGUAUAUUCAUGAUAAUGAGCUCAUACAAGGAAUUAUAGACAAGGCUCAGUUUGGAAAGUACGGCAUAGUUCAUACUGUCUAUGAGCUCUACGGUGCAGAUACAGCAGGAGUUUUGCUUUCUGUGUUUAGUCGCUUAUUUACAUUGUUUCUGCAGGUGAAUUUCUUUGUUUUUCUUCUUGUGAGAACUUAUUACCUUUCUAUUGUUUUACUAUCUGAUUUAAUUGUGGCCGUUGAGAACAUAUUAUAUGGUUUCAGAUUCAUGGGUUUACGUGUGGAGUGGACGACCUUCUACUGUCUCAGGAUUCAGAUCUGCAGAGGAGUAGAAUAUUAGGAAAAAGUGAAAAAUGUAGUGAAGAAGUUCAUAUGAGAUUUACUGGUACUAAGGGUGGUGAUCGAGGUAUGUUUAAUACUUCGAGCAGUACACCAUGGUGCAUAUGCUGAAUGUUUAUCCUUAAUUUCCCUCAUUAUUUAUUGGAGUUUUACUUAACAUAAACCUGCAAAAUUAUCUAUUUUAUAUGCACCCUGAAAAAUCUGAUUGUCUCUAUUGUCUUUCUAAAUUUAUUUCUUAUAAACAUGCUCUUAUACUUGCUAAAUAUGCCCUUUUCUGAUAACUUUGCUAAUUCAAAAACUCAACUUCCCCCAUGAAUUGGAUCUCUCCAAUUUAAAAUAAAAGUUCUUUUGUUGGAAAUUGCACCUUUGAUGGUUAUAUAUGAAAAUUCAAAAUUUUCAGUGGAAUAUAUAUUUAAACAUGUAUGUGUGUAAUCCCCCAUUAUUUGUUGUCCAAUAAUUUGCCUUUCCAGUUAUUCUUGGCAAUUGCACGCGUACUUUCUUUAUUAUGCUUCUCAUGCUUGGUCUUCUGUUUCUACUUCCAUUUCAAUUUCAUUGAUUCAUUCACUUGUUUACGUGUUUCAGUCUACUACUAGCUCGCUUUUUGUUUGUUGAAAUGGUUCAGCAGUAAAAGAGAUUUCAUACAUUGGAUUAAUUGAAAUCAAUACUCACCAAAGUCAGCUGAGAAUUUCUUGCUUUUCUUGGCAUUAAUAGAUAACUGUGGUUUUUUAAUUAGACUAUUCCUCCUUUUUGACUUCAUAGUCUAAUUCCUCUAAUUUCUCUAUGUAGACCCAGUGAAGCUACAAAGGAAGGUUGAGAAAGUCAUACGGAGUCACGGAGACUCUGCGACUAUUACCUUGGAUAGAAUGAUGUCGAAUGCUCUGAAUGCUCUAACUUCUGAAGUGAAUCAAUUACUAUUUCCAAAUGGAUUAGAGAAGCCUUUUUUAGAAAACUGCCUCUCUCUUAUGACUGCAACUGGAGCUAAAGGUGGUUUGGUGAGUUCAUUUUCCUUUUCCAUUACAUUGUCUUUCAGUUGUUGUUUUAGUUAAUCAGAUUAAUGGCCUUCUAUUAGUACCCAUUACUCAGUGUUAGUGGCAGAAUGAAAAUUAGCUUCUAAUUAUUACUGUGCAUUUAUGAGAAGAAUACAGAGUGAUAUAUAGAUAUAGAUACUAUAUGGAUAUUGAUACUAUAUGGAUAUAGAUAUUGAAGAUGUCUUAUACCAUAUAGAUAUUGAUUUAGGCUUAAUUACACUCUACAACUACAUUGUAGUUUAUUUUUUUUUAAUUUGCUAUAUCAUACUUUUUUUUUCGAAGGCACCAUUGUAUUAUUAUAUUUUAUCAAUUUUUACAUUGUGUAUUUUAGAUUUAUUUUUAGUUUUUUUACCUUGUACUGUUUUUUCUCAUGGAUAUCACUAAACUUUUCUUUUUCUUACCAACCUCUACAUUACUUUUUACAAAUCUACUAUUUUAGGUAAAUCUAACAACUUUAUUAAAAGGCACUGAUUAAAUAGUAGAAACACAAUAUAAAAUAAAUCUCGAUGAUAGACUCAUUGAAAGUUUCUAUCAAGUUAUUUUUAAUUAUCCUUUUUCUAUUUUUUAUGUAUUUUGUUAUUUUUAUGUCAAAAUAAGCUGAAUAUAUGCUUUGCCACUCUUAACCACUAUUUUUUAAUAGUUGUUAUAUAAAAUUAUAGGUUUAUUGCUUAGUGUAGGGAUUGGAAAAAACGAUAGUUGAGUGGUGCUUCUGACAAAAAAAAAGUAGUGUGUAGAAAGUGAAAAAAAUCUAUUAGAUAGAGUGUACUAUAGUCUAAUUAAGCUUAUUGAUUUAUACGAGACAAUUCUUGCACAGAUGCGCAUGCAGAUACAUGCAUGCACAGAUAUAUAUGCAUGUAUAAUGUCCUUGUAGAUUAAAUGAAGUUGCCUAAAAGUCAUACGAGUGAAGCAUCCAAGAAGUAUCCAAGCUGUAUACAUUCAAUUCAUUUUAUAUGAUAUAUGUAAAUUAUCCAAGGCCUAUCUUUGAAGUACCAGUAAGGUCAUAUUUGACACAUCCUCUGGAAUAUGAAGCAUCUUUGCUUCCUAUUCAUAGUUUCUACCUUCAAACAAUAUUUCUCAAUUGAUUUACCAUAAUGUGCCAGUAGAUGGUAUUGCCGUGAGCAAAUGUUAUACAUAAUUCUUUUGUGCUGAAUGCCUUUUCACUGUAAUAUUUGGAUGGCGUUGAUCAAAUGUGAAAAACUCUUGAGUCUAUCUUGCCUGACUUUUCGAUUAAGAUUAUAAGAUAUAUGUUAAAUAUUUCAUAAAUAGUCUGCAAACUAACUUUUCUGAUCCUUUUUAUACAGGUGAAUAUGACACAAAUAUCUUCUCUGUUAGGACAACAAGAAUUAGAAGGAAAACGUGUCCCACGCAUGGUCUCUGGAAAGACGUUGCCUUGUUUUCCGCCUUGGGAUACUUCAUCUCGUUCCGGUGGAUUCAUUGGCGAUCGCUUUUUGACUGGCCUUCACCCUCAAGAGUAUUAUUUCCAUUGCAUGGCUGGUCGCGAUGGGUAUAACAUGCUUCUCUUUUGGUAUAUCAUAUGGAUUGUCCCUCUGCUAUCUAGAUGUUAUGACUUAGUUCUUGAACUUUCCACUUGCACUUAGCCCCUAAACUUUUUCCUAUGAAAGUUUUUAUUAGUAAUAACUUUUCCCUUUAAAAUGCAUUUUUUUUAACCCUGUUUUAGCUACACUGAAACAAAGAGGUCAUUUUACAGGGGAAAUAAUAAAUGGUCAUUUUCACAUUAAAUCAUAGAUUUUUUUUUUCUUUAGUUAGGGAUGGAAUAGCUACAUGAGAAAGCUGAGGGACUAUUAUGUGCCUAAGUAAGAAAAAGUUGUGGGACUAAGGUGCGCGGUAUGAGGAUAGCACAGCGACCAUUUUGCUUAUAUUUAGAAUAGUUCUGUCCAAAGUAGUAAAUUAAUAUCACACUGACCAGCAUUUUACAUGUGCAGACUGGUGGACACUGCAAUUAAAACAUCUCGCAGUGGUUAUCUGCAAAGAUGUCUUAUUAAGAAUCUUGAGUGCUUGAAAGUCUCUUAUGAUCACACAGUUCGCGAUGCGGAUGGGUCGAUAGUCCAGUUCAGUUAUGGGGAAGAUGGUGUCGACGUCCUUAAAACUAGCUUCCUUGCUAAAUUUAGAGAACUUGCUGAUGUAAGCUCAUAAAUAGUUUAUGCAACAUUAUCUGUUUACAUGUAUAUCUCUUCAAAAUCUGAAUUUACUGCAAAUCUGAAUUACCUUGUUUUUAACAAAAAUGCGCUCCCUCGCGUGAGCACGAAAAUAGUAUCAGUGCACUUUGCUCUUCUUAACAUGCAAAAACCUACUUUGACCCUUCACGGUGGAGACUAUCAGUACUGAAUCCCCUUCUUGUUGCAGUUCUUUUUUUGUUUUAAAUUCAGGUUUUGUUUGGUACUUUGAGAGUAUGGUCUGAAAUACCUGUUGUAUCCUUUUUUAGUGGGAAGAUCGCAUUGUAAGACUUAAUGAACAUUUCCUGGAUGCAGAAUAUGAAGGGCAGGGGAUAAGUGCUGAUGGUCUAAAAAUUCAGGGGUUAAUCUAGGUUGUUAAUCCUCAGGAGGGCAAACUAGCAAUGGUGUUAUUUGUCCGGGUGGUUUUCUGCAAUUGAACCAACUAUUUUUGAUGGACCUUUAGCUUGAGAUGAGAGUAUGCACAAGUGUAUGUACAUAAAUAAAUGGGUGAUUUCACUGGAAUAUGUAUGCGAAAAGCCCAAUUUUGAAUCUAUCUUUUCCUGCCUUCUAAUACCUAGUAUUAAUGCAUUUUAUUUUGUCUCUCAGAAUCGAAAAGUUAUUAUGGACAGGCUUAGCAGUCAGCUCGGUGACGUGCAUUUGUCAAAAUCUAGUGGUUUCAUCAAUGAAUUGCCAUUCGAGCUGAGAGAUAAAGCAAGUGAAUUUGUUCAUCUAUCAAAAAAGAAACAGCAAUGCCGCUUUGAAAUAAAGCGAAAGGACUUGAUGAAGUUAUUGAAGGUCAAGUAUCUAACCAGUCUUGCUGAGCCUGGUGAGCCCGUGGGUGUAGUUGCUGCUCAAUCUGUUGGAGAACCAUCAACUCAGAUGACGUAAGUUCUCAUCUUCAUUUGGUCCUACAUUGCUUAUAAUGCACAUUAAAGAGCUGCAGAUGUUUUUAUCACUGAUUUAAAUGAUGUUAAUGUUUUCUCAAUAAUUUAUACUACACAUCUAAGGUUCAACUGAGUGAUCAAGUGUAUGUCCGAUAAAUACUAGUUAUUCAUCCUUAGUAGUAGAUAAUUUUAUCAUUAACUUAUAAUGAUUUUAUGUUUGAGCUUUAUAAAUUAAUUGAAUGAAUUAUGAUUUCAUUAUUGUUGCUAAAUUAGUAUUUAUCAUUAACUUAUAAUGCUAGGUUUUUAUCCCAUUUAUAUACUGAAGUAAUAAUAAAGUAUAUCUGAUGCUUGAUUGAGUCUUAGUGUGGAAAUGCUUAACUUGAAAUGAUUUUAUUGUUAAUAACAAGAAAUUGUUAUAAUAAUUUUAUGUUAUUACUCGAGAAUUUAAGUGCCUAGACACAAGGGCUUGCCAAGUAAUACCUGGCACAGAAGUAUGCACGGCAUGGCACUGUGCUUUCCUGACUUGUGGAAAUAGUGGUGUGCUAGUGACCAUGAAGGGACUCCGAGUGGCAGUCAUGGCCACGCGUUUGGUAUGAUCCUAUUUUGGGUUUAUAUAUUCUAAAUAAGUGUUUGUUUUAAAGGUUUUCUAAAAGUAAACACCCUAUUGGACUGUUCAAAGUAUUAAACAUACCUUGAUGCCGAUUCGGUGAGCAAAUCGGCUCGGCGAAUCGGCAGAAAAAAAAAAUUCCCUUUUGCAAAUAGCCUCCUUUCAUUACAAUAUUUGCUCUCCACAAAAUGGAGAGUACUGUGAACUUGUUAACAUGAGUGAAAAAGUAAACCCAUAAUUAUAUGUUGGCCUGUAACAGAAUUUUCUGCUUGUUGAUAUAGUACUUAACAGAGCUGAAAGAAAGGUAUGUUGUGUUUUUCCACUAAAAUGUACUAAUUAUCAGUUCAAAUGGUGUUGUCAACUUUCAAAGUCGUGAUAAAUCAACCCAAAUCAAAUGGCCUUAAUUAGCAACUCUGUCCUGUCAUUUUAUUCCGAGUCUCUCUAAGAAACAAAUCUCAACAUAUUGCAUGUGUUUUUUUCUUCUUUUUUUGGCAUUUAUUCAUUACUUUUGCAGUUAAAAAUUACUAUAUCGUCUGGUUUCUUUUAGAGUGCCUAAUAUUGGAUUCUUUAAUCGAGUUUCACUUGAUUUGUACGUCCUUUUUUCUUUUCUUUUUCUUUUUUUAAAAUUUUUCUUUUCUUUCAUUUUAGUGGGCAUCGACCUUACUUUAUUCCUUGCUCGGGUCAUAAUUUAGUCCUCUUUUUUUUUUUUGCUUUGUAAGAUACUUGUUGAGGAUUUAAUUUUUCAUGCCUGAUAUAUUUUUGUUAGAUCAGAUGUAAUUAAUUACACUGAGGCAUAUUGAUUACUUAAUUAUUGUUAAAUUAUCGAUUUAAUGUUUAUGUCGCUUCCUCCAGGCUCAACACUUUUCAUCUUGCUGGAAGAGGAGAAAUGAAUGUGACACUUGGAAUACCUCGCCUACAAGAAAUUCUGAUGACCGCAUCAGACAAUAUCCGAACUCCCAUUAUGAAAUGCCCGCUGCUUGCGUCCACAACUCUGUGAGUUAUUCAUAAAAUAAGUUUGCUUAUACUAUACGAAUUACAUCACAGAAAAAUAGCUGAUAACUAAAAUAUCUUAUGAUCGUCUUGAUGCUAUGACAAUGUUUUUCCUUUUCAGGCUAAAUUACAAAAAACACACUAGCACUUGCCCUUCUAUCUCAGUUAUGGUUUGCAUGUCAACCUUGCAGUUUACUAGUCUCUCUUAGUUCGAAUAAGUUUUGGAUGACCAUCAAAUUCAGAUGAAAAACUUAAUGAAACUGAGUUGGUAGAUUAUACUAGCUAUAUAAUCAAACAUUUGAUUUACAUAACAGAAAAGACCUAGAAAGAACUCGACAUAGCUCACAAUGUAUGUGAAUUCAUUUUGUCACGUUUUGCUCCUGAAUUUGGUUAGUCAUCCAGAAUUAUUUGACCUUCUCGAAACAAGAAUAAAAUGCAUGGUAGACAUUGUACUUAAGCAAGAAUAAUAGGGUUGGUUUUUGCAGUAUAGCCUAUUUUCAAUUUGACUUCUUUUUUGAAUGUCCUGUAGAUACACUGCUCUCUUAAUAAACCAAGUUGUAUGCUGCUCUUUUUUUCUUUUGAAGGGAGGAUGCUGAACGAGUUGCUGCGAAGUUGAGGAGGAUCUCUGUGGCAGAUAUUAUAGAAAGUAUGGAGGUCCAAAUCGUUCCGUUCUCCAUUCAAGGGAGUCAGGUCUCAACAGUUUAUAAGUUAAAGAUGCACCUCUACCCUUCUGAGCUUUACCCUUCUUAUUCCGACCUAAAAUUACAAGAUUGCCUAUCAACCCUACGUUCAACCUUUGUCCUCGCUAUGGAAGAAGCCAUAGAAAAACACUUAGACUUGAUAGACAGAAUUAACAAUAUCAACACUGUUACUACUAAAGACGAUAACUCAGCAAACGAAGUUGAUGAAGAAGAAAGUAGUAGACCAGCCAAUGAAGAGGAGGGAGACGGAGGUGAUGACGAUGAUGACAUAGGUGGUGAAGACCAAGGAACAGAUGCAGAAAGGAGGAAGAUGCGAAAGAGCGACGAAGUGGAGUAUGAGGAUGGUAUAGAAAAUGAGGGGAGGGGUACUGUGGCAAAUGAUGAUGAACAAAAUGAAGAGCACAAAUCAGGAUUUGAAAGUGAGAUUGAUCAAGUCGAGACAGAAGAUGAUUAUACCAUGGGAGGGGAAACUACUGUUGAGAUUGAGAGAGAAGAGGAGCCAGAUAGCCCAAAAAAAUCCGAGGGUUUUCCUGCAUCUGAUGAUGGAAAUAUGGAAGUUAAAUCAGUCAAGAAGGAAAAGAAAUUGGAGAGGAAAAUGGUGAAUACUAAGAAGAGUAAGAGAAAGUUGAACAGGACUAUUCAUGUGGAGGCUAAUGGUUUGAAUUUUGAGGUUCACUACAUGUUCAGGGACGAACCUCGGGUAUUACUGGCUGAGGUAUAUUCGCUCCCUCUUGCAUUUUCUAGCUGAUUUCUUGAUUCUCAUAAAGCAUUUUAAUAUGCUGACAAUUAGAAAUGCCAUUUUUUUGAUGAUAUGAAAGCAAGGAUUGCCCAUGCCACACUGUGCUGUGGCCAUGCCGGCAUGCGGUGGGCUGUUUUUUUUGAGUUUUUGGGCUUUCGUGGAUUCUUUUUUUUAAGGUGAAAAGUUUUACGAAGGUUUCCAUACUUGAAAUAUGUAGAUCUUAUAAAUCUACUAACAUUUGAAGCAUUUAGUGUGUUCCAUUGCAAUAAUAAGACCAACUUUUAGUGGAAAUGCAAAAAUAGUGUUGUCCCUAAUUUUUUUUAUCAUAUUAGAUCUAGUGAAUUGAACUUAAGUGUUUUCCUAUAAAUAUUUAUCCAGUUAUUACUUAAGUUUUAUUUUCAUGUAUGUUCUUUGUAAUAUAAAAAAAAUAAAUAUCAUCUAGUUAUUCUCUAUUCUUACUAAAUUGUGUGAAAUAUAGUACUUGACCCAAUUUUAUAACCAUUAGAGAUAUUAAAACACUCUAAAAAGUUGUUUCUCGUGAAAAUUUAAUGAUAUAGAAGUAUGUGCCAAUAAGUGCUGAUGUGCCAGUGGCAUAACACUGGCACAAGGAGGCAUGCGGACAUUAGCAUGCAUGGGAUGUGCCAGUGCUACGACAAUCCUUGCAUGGAAGUAAUGAAAUGUUUGUCUUUCUUAACGUUAUUAGGAAUUAUCAUAUAAAAUUCUGCUAACAUUAUGUGAACUGGAUGAUUGUAUGUCUAAAUGUGUUCUCAUCCCUAUGUAUUGUUGCUUAUUUCUGGAAUAAUUGCGUAAAUUGCAUUACUGUGGUAAAACCUUAUUGAAUUUCCGUAGAAUUUCCGUAGAAUAUCUAUUACAAGGUAUGCGAACGGACGAUUUGCCUAGCUCUUGAGUUUUUCUUCUUUUUUUUUUUUUGUGAAAAAAGAAAAAACAGAUUUGGGAAAGAAAUUCAUUUUUAUUCUUUGGUAAAGAAAUUUUAUUUCUUAUUAGUGCUAUAGGUGCAUAUUUGACCAUCCACUACCUGAGAAGCUUCGUUGUUAUUAUAAAACAUGAUACUUUGAUAUUUUAACACAUUAAUCCAGUGCCGAAGAAUGAAUUAGCUAUGGCUUCAGCUUUGAAGUUAGAAUCUAAUAAGCAUGACAUUUUGACAGUGCUACAUAAUAUGAUAUGGAUGAUGCCAUGAGUUGAAGUCUAUUGAACAUUAUUAUUUUUGCAUAGACCAUCACUGAUAUUGUUUUCCUAUAUAUGAUAGCUACAUUAUUCUAAAUGGGAGUUUCUCAGCUGGAUUAUAUGAUUAAACGUAAUUGAAGCUUGCUCUUCUCUAGGGGUGGAAAAGAGCCGAGCUUGAGCGAGCUUACCUCGGCUCAAAUUUUGCUUGAAAUUAAUUUCGAGCCUAAAUUUAGGCUCAAGCUUGGCUUGAAAUUAAUUUGAGCCGAGUUCGGGCGAGCCUAAUUUUGAGUCGAACGAGCUCGAACUCUAAACGAGCCGCUUGAAAUUCUCAACAUUGUACGAUCAAUAGUUUAAUUUGUAUAGAAUAUUAUCUACAAUUUGAUACAAAAACAUGUCUAAUAAUUCAAAAUACAAAAAUAGUUAUAUGAAAUACGGUAUUAUAAUAUGAAGAAAAAUAACUUAUGAGUUGAAUAUCUAAUAUUUUCAGCCUUGUCUUCUCUUCCGCUUUCAAUCUCUAUAUUAUUCAUUUUAUUUAUGCGGUCAAAAAAUGAAUAAAUUAUAUAGGCAAAUAUUGGAUUAAAAUAUCCAAUCAUAUAUAACUAAAAUCAAAAUUUUGUAUAAACAAUAAUUUUUUACCUUAAAAACAUUCUGUAUAUUUUCUCAAGCACACAAUUAAUGGCAAGGCAGGCAACGGUGGGCGCGUGCUGUUAUUUGGUAACUUGGGGGCUUCAGGCUUGGCCACUUGGAGAGAGAGAGAGAGAGAGAGAGAGAGAGAGAGAGAGAGAGAGAAAGAUUAGAGAUUUAGAGUAAAAAAAGAAAAGGAGAGUGUAAAUUUAGUGGUGCCCUUUUGUUUGUCUAUUGGUUUUGUUUUUAUGGGCUAGCAACAUUGGUCCAAUUUUAACUAAACUCAGGUUACUCACUCAGCCUAUUAGUAUAUUUAAUUAAAAUAUAUUAUAUUUAUAUAUUUUUUAAAUAUAUAUAUAUAUAGAGUUGAGCUGGAAUGCUAUCGGUAGCAAACGGGCUUUAUUGCCACCCAUUUGUUUUCGAUGACGGAGCCUCCAAAUCGACGAUCGGCACCGUUGAACAUGAUCUAUACCACUUGAAGUGUCUAGAAACCAAAUUUCAAAUCUUUUCGACACCAUUAGCUUAAUGAUCAAAGGGUUUCAAAAUUUGUAAUUUUAAUGGUCGAUAUGAGGCGUUUUCUCCUUUAACGGCGUAAAGAUAUUCAAAUCAAUUGAAUUUUUGUUAGAAAAUUUUUUAAACUAUUUAGAACAAGAUCUAUACUCUUUGAUCUUGAUUAUAAGACUCCUAUCAUCACUUUUUAAAGAAUUUUUAUUUUCAGCCGUUCAUUUUUGUGUCCACUUGAUGAACAAGUGAACAAUAUCGAAAAAGCAUUAAAUUUGGUUUCUAGAUACUUCAAAUAGUAUAGAUCAUAUUCAACGGUACCGAUCGUCGAUUUGAAGAUUCCAUCAUCGAAAACAAAUGGGUGGCAACGGAGCCCGUUUGCUAUCGAUAGUAUUCUAGCUCAACUCUCUCUCUCUCUCUAUAUAUAUAUAUAGUGAGAGAGAGAGAGAGUGAGUUGGGCCGGAGUUCUAUUGAUAGCAAAAGACCUUUUUUGCUAUCACGUUUUUAACCAUUGGAUGAGAAAUUGUAAGGUUAAGACUUAGUAUGAUAUUAGUCCCCUUAGGGUUGAGUGGUUUCCCUAGAGUUGAGUGGUCCUUACUGGAUUAUAAUAUUUAAUCCAACGGUUAGAAAUGAUGAAAGAAAUUGAUCCAAAGGCUAAAACUUGAUAGCAAAAAGGACCUUUUGCUAUCAAUAGUAUUCUAGCCCGACUAUAUAUAUAUAUAUAUAUAUAUAUAUAUAUAUAUUCGAGCUUUUCGAUCCUAAUUUGAGCGAGCCGAGUAAUACUCAAGCUCGGCUUGAAAUGAAUUUCAAGCUUUUUCUUUUGUUCAAGCUCGGCUCAUUUAAUUUCUAGUCGAGCUUGAGCGAGCCGAAUAUCGAGCCGAACGCGAGCCGGCUCACUUUGUAAAUUCAACACCCUACUGUUCUCUUGCUGAAAAUGAACUGAUGGACUUGAAAUUUGCUUUUUUUUUUUUGGGAUUUGGGAUAUACACUGCUGCAAUUUGUGCAAUUGUGCAAAUGAUAUUUGUGCCUUUCCUUGGAAACCGUAUAUAUUUGCAUUCUAUUCCCCUGCCCAAACUAUAUAUAUAUAUAUAUAUAUGCAAAACUUGUUUUUGCAUAGUUACACCUGAUAGGAACACUAUUGCAAAUAAAUAACAUUUUCAGUGUUACACAUACAAAUACUCCUCCUGGGAUAUUGUGGUGGAUUUGUUCUUUUAAACCAUGUUGAAUUGCUGAGGAUUUUUUGUUUAUUUGAUGCCCAGAUUGCUCAGAAAACAGCGAAGUCAAUCUAUGUAAAGUCGUGCAAGAGCAUCGAGCGGUGCUCAGUAGCCGAGCCGCAGAAGAAAGAGGAGACCCACAUGCUUCAAAGCGUUGGUGUGAACUUCCAAGCAUUCUGGGACUUGGAAGAAUAUUUAGACAUCAACAAACUCAUCUCCAAUGACAUACAUGCGAUGCUCAACACCUAUGGUGUUGAAGCUGCCAGGGCUACUAUCAUACGAGAAGUGAAGGAAUUGUUCCAGGCAUACGGGAUUGACGUAAAUAUCCGGCAUUUAAGCUUAAUUGCAGAUUUCAUGACGUUUAAUGGCGGGUAUCGACCAAUGAAUCGGUUGGGAAUGGGUGAAUACAACACUUCGCCGUUUGGGAAGAUGACCUUCGAGACAGCAUCGAAGUUCAUCGUAGGGUCGGCAUUCCAUGGGGAGGUCGACACACUGGACGCCCCAUCAGCAAGCAUCUGCUUAGGUCAGCCGGUGAAGUUCGGGACCGGUUGCCUCGAUCUGAUGCAGAACCUGGUAUAAUUAUAUCCGAGUUUGAAGUUGAGCAGAGUACGCAUUUGCUAUGUAUCAGCUGUGGUGUAAGAGGUGAAAAUAUGCGGCUGCUCCGAUUUGUACAUGAGAGUAUGAGAUGCAAUUAACAUAAAGAUGUGUAUUUGUUGGCUAAUUAUGAUAUGUACUCUCUGACAGUAUUUAAGAGGAAUGAGAGAAUUUUGGCAGUUACAUUCUUUUCAUGUAAAGUGAUGAAAGUUAGGAUAGUCUUUACUUCGGUGGGACCAUAAUUCGGAACGAUAUUUUCCCGAUACACAAAUGUAUUUGUUAUAGUUCUCUGAUCAAAUGUUGAAUCCUUGUAGAACAAGAAUCUAUUUCCGGCACCUAUGUUGAAACCUGUAAACUAGAGGUUGAUACAGCAAUUUAUAACCUUUUCAUUGAGAUGUUGGGCCUAUAUGCUCUGACCACAUUCUUAUUUUUUUAAACCCCUUUCUUUUUCUUUUCCUCAUUUAUUGCCAAGAGCUCCCUAUAGCAAGCAUUGUAUGUUACAAAACUUUUUGUUAAUGUGGCUUUAUACUAUUGUGUGUGUGUUAAUAAAUUGUUAAGGUAGGGCACUCUUUAACAUCGACUCUCAUGAAAUGCCAAACACAGUUAUACAUUACUCAAUGACUUCCAUGUAGUUUGAUAAUUAGGGUUUCAGUUUUAAUAACUCAGCAGCGAGUUCGUCAGGUGAGCUUACCAGAUUUCAUUCUUGGGAGGUUUCAGAUCGGAUCUUGUUAAGUUGGGUUGAUGUGUUCUUCUUGUAGGUUGCCAUUCUUUACGUGGUCGUGGUAAGAACAGGCAUUCUGAUGAACCUCUCUUGAAUUGUGUUGUUGGGCAUUUAGUUCUUCUACUUCUUGAUGUUUGCCGACUGCCAAGGUAUGUUUUCAGAACCCAGGAUUACUAUGAGAAAAGUUUGUGCCUAAUAGAAGAUCUUCUUCCAUGAACAUGUAGUGUGAAUGAUAUUUUGUUUGAAUGAUUGUGAUUCAAUGUUGAGAAUUUGAUAGAUGAAAAUCAUUACUGUUGAUAAGUAAGUGUGCCUGUAUUUUGGUAGAUGAAAAUCAUUAUUGUUGGUAAGUUAGUAUGCUUGUAUCCUGACGCCGUGCAUGUACAUGUAUAGGAGGAUUCUGUCCGUAUGAUAAGAGAAUCUUUUAUGCAUGUGGCUGGUUUGUGCGGGUCCUGUGUGAGGACCUGUUUGCGAUAUUCGGAUUUUCAAAAAUAAAAAAUAAAAAAAUUCUCGUGUUUUCAAAAAAAUAAUUAAAUUAUGAUUAUUCUUGUGAGCAAAAUUGUUGGUAUUGUAAUUGGUAGCUAUCACAAUAUGAUCAAUCUUUCUUAGAUUCCCUAUGUUCAGUAGGCUACCGUAGUAAACACAAAAGGAGUUUGUUUUUUUUUUUUUUUUUUUAANUAUUUUUUUUUUUUUUUUUUUUUUUUUUUUUUGGGUAUCCAAAAAUUAUUGUUAAACAUUAUAAUAUACAGUAAGGUUUGUCAUGAGUUUUUUUUUUUUUUUUUUUUCUUCAAAUAAUGUUAGCCUUUUAGGAUGUUCUAAGGUGUUAUGUAUAUAAACUUGAUCCAAAUUUUAUCUCUUAUCUAGUUUAAGUCAAAAUAAUUAUAAUAUAAUUCAUGAGAGUUCUUAAAUGCUACUGUAAGAUUAAUAAUUAACAAGAUAUAAUAUAGAAAUAUUUUUAAUAUAUUCAAAUCAUAACUCUUUAAGUCUGAAUUUUUAUCCUCCAUUGCUACUAGUAUAUUUAGUUCCUGGGUAGAUCACACUGGUAAUUGUCAUAAUCAGUUACUAGAUUGAUCCUUCGACUAUAUAAAUAUUGCUUUUUUUUUUUUUUGAGAGAGAGAAAGGUAGCACGCUAUCCGCUUCAUUUAUUUCAUUUAAAAAUAAACUUAGCUAGAAAUGCGAAUCAACUAGAAUUUAAACUUGGGUCUCGGGUACCAACCAUCAAGCUCUUUUGCCACUUGCGAUAGGAACGGUCGGUGACUAUAUAAAUAUUGUUGAUACAGGGGAAAACUCAUUUGCUGCUGACACAUCUUAUAAUAAUAGCGAACAUAUUCAUUAUAGCGAAUAGUAUUGUGAUAUACGUAUAUUACCGUAUCUGGUAAAAUAUAAAAGAUGAGUAAACAGAUUCGUACCAAACCUUGUUGGUUCAUGAGGCCCAAGCGAGGCCUGCUGCCACGCCCCGUGAAAUCGAAAUCGUUGGGCCAGCCUUGCCUCCGAUGAAUGGGCUGUAAACCGUAGGGCUAUAUACCCCUCAAAACUUCUAAAAUAUUUUAUUUAUGGGCUUUUUUUUUGCAAAUAACCCCCUGACAAAUUUUAUUUGCAAAAAUAGUCCCGUCAAAAAAUUAUUUACAAAAAUAGCCCUGCCCUGCCACGCCAGCGCCACGUCAGCGCCACGCGGGCAAGGCGGGCCCAGAUGUUUAAGUUGAACACGGUGAACCAUUCACCAUGUUCAAUACAAGAUUUUUGUAUUGGACACGGUAAAUGGUUCACCGUGUCCAAUACAAAUACCCCAACAAUGACUAAGUUGGAGGUAUUUGUAUUAGACACGGUGAACCAUUCACCGUGUCCAAUACAAAAAGUUUGUAUUGAACACGGUGAAUAGUUUACCGUGUUCAACUUAACCAUCUGGCCCAGCCCCGCCCGCGUGGCGUUGACGUGGCGCUUGCGUGGCGGGGGCAGGGCCAUUUUUGCAAAUAAAUUUUUGACAUGGCCAAUUUUAAAAAAAUUUUUGUAAGGAGGCUAUUUGCUAAAAAAAACCCUUUAUUUAUUUACUUUUGUUUUUUUUUUUUAUUUUAAAUAUUCACCUUGUACAUUUCUCCGUUAUUUAAAAAUACCUCCGUGGUUAGUGCUCGUUAAGUCAUCUCGGGUUAAAUUUGAGUUAAAUUUCAACCAUAAAUAAAAAAAAUAAAAAUACCUAUUUUGUCCUAACUCAAGGGCAAAUAAGAAAAGUUAGUGAUAGUAAAAGAGUAUAUUUAAAAGUGUCAAAAGUCAAAAGGACAAACAAAAAAAGUUGGUGACAGUAUAAAGGUAUAUUUGAAAGAGCAAAAUGGUAAUUUUAUAUAGAUAACAGCUGUUCCUAAUAGCUCACUAACAGAAUUUAACUCUAACAUCUGUUUGGUUCGGGGUUAAGGGAUGGAAUAACCCCUUAACCUUGAAGUUAUUCCCAAACACUCAAUUUGUGGGGUGGGAUUAGCUAAUCCGACCCCACCCCACUACUCCAACCAAACAAACACUAUUUUACCCACUAUCCUUCUUAUCCCACUUACUCCAACAAACACUAUUUUACCUGACCUGGAGUAAGCCCAAUUCUCAACCAAACACAAAAUUACUCUAGCCCCACCUUAACCCUGAACUUAACUCUAUCACUGAAAUAAUAAGUUUUUACUUAACCCCGUACCAAACGGUAGAUUAAGGGUACAUUUGAAAGAAUUUGGAACCUUAAAAGGGUAUUUCUAAUAUUAGAAUUCUAAGAAGGGUAAAUACGAAAGUCGGAAACUUUUCAGGAUAUAUAAAUUAUU